This 64568-nucleotide long non-coding RNA is filed under the name Coffea arabica (coffee). RNAcentral describes it as "long non-coding RNA (CARA_LNC003328)". The record is from RNAcentral. Lineage: Eukaryota; Viridiplantae; Streptophyta; Magnoliopsida; Gentianales; Rubiaceae.
UUUUUUUUUUUUUUGUUUUGGAUAAUUUAGAACUGUAGCCUUACGAACCAAAAACAUGCAGUAGAAUAUUUUAUCUGUAAAAUGAAGUAAAUCUAAUCAAUAUGAUGACAAGAAGACCAAGAAAAUGCAAUAUAUAGUUGAAUCUACGAAUCAAACAACUCAGUAGACAAAGAAUCCUGAAAUUGCACUGAAAUUAACCACCUGAAAACUACAUUACAAGGUGCCACACUAGAUAGACUAUAAUGAAGCAUUUGAAAGUAGCUUUUGAUGAGUUACCCUGCAAUUGCAGUAGUCCAAUUUCCACCAUCGCACUAACUUCUGUUCAAGCUUUAAUUGCUUUCUCAACCAACAACUUUUGGAAUUUUAAUUGUUGUUAUAAUUUGACAAAAUAGUGCUUGAUUUUUGGAAGUUGACUAUAACGAUUACACCAUAAAGUUGUUUGCUCCACAAUGGACAUAAUAAUGACAAUCAAAAGUUCUGUGGCCACAUUUGGUACUUAGAGUACCUAUCUUGUAAUUGACCACACAAAGGCAAGCCAUUAACGUGGAAAAGGAUUGUUCGCCCUCCGCAAUGUCCUGGAAAAGAGGGGUCAAGUUCCUAUGAAGCUAAUGAUUAUGAUCAGGGAAAAUAUGGACGCUUAGAUUGUUUCAGCAGCGGAAGAGCCACAUGACUCAACUCUUGUGGCUUCGCAUAUUAUUAUAUGUGACUCCUCUAAUAAUUUAAAAUAUCUACGUAAUAUUUCUGUGAUUUUAUGUAAAGUAGAUAUUCAACGAAAAAUAGCCUUUAUAAAGUGCUAAAUAGAUCAAAGUUCUAAUCAGUUUGUAUAAAUACAAAAUAACAAGGAGGUUAAAUGGUUAUUUAUACAAAAUUACAGGGAAUUACGAGGAUAUUAUAAUUUCAUCACACUCAUUUUUGGAGCGCAUUCAAGUCAAUCGCUGUAACCGGAGGUACUUUCUGUGCGUUUUGUCCUUUAUAUAAAAUUAUGAUAAAGUUAUGUGGAUAUUUUAAAAUUUUAGAAUGAUCAUGUGGUAAUAAACAAAACUACCGGGGGUGCUUAUAGUAAUUUAUCCUAAAAUCGAAGGUAGUACUUUAACAUAGGUAGUAUCAAACGAAAAAAUAAUUUAACUAAAGACUAAGAAGUUUAAACAUGACAUAAAAAUAAGAAAGUUUAAACAAGACAUUUCAGAGGUUUCUUGGUUGCCCGUUCCUAUUGCAUACCAUAGAAUACUAUAUUUAUUGAGAUUGCGAAACUAAUUGGAGUACUAAUUCUGGAAAACUCUCGCACUUUUGCUGUAACUCCUUUCCAAACCCCACUUGUUUUGACUGUAAUUUACUUAUCUGCCUUUACUUAGGAACUGUAAUCCACUUGUGUUGCCUUAUACUUUUGUUUAACGUUGACUUGAGUUGAACAGCCGACCACAAAGUAAAAACCACAUCCACAUCAGAAACAACACUACGUACCACUACAAUGUCUAGAGACUUCCGUUCGUUUCACUUUAUAGAUCAUUAAAAUUGUCGGAACAUUUGCCAUUAUAUGCCGUUGAUUAAGCGGAGUUAAAAACUCAGGUGUACAAUAUUAGGUAUACCAUGAAUGCCACGUGACGAUGCAUUAGUAUCAAUAAUAAGUCACCAAAUAUUAUGGGGGAUUAUUCUUUGUCUGAUUUCUACUAAACUAAAAAUAACUCGCUAUUAUUAUUUGACGAUGCGUAAUUGAUACUAGCACGUCACAUGACAUGUGAUGUAGUCUACGUGGCAUACUCAAUACAUUCUCAAUUCAGACUACGAAAAUCACGUUAAAUUUCGGUCUGAAUCGAUAUCAAGAAUCGAAAGGUCUAUGAGAAAAUCAACUUUCAUACCAAGAUUUAUUUAAUUUUAGAAGCAUCUAAAUGUGAUUGCAAAUGGAGCGCUCGAAAAGUAAAUAAUUAAUCAAAGUGGCAAAAAUAUUUGUAAUUUAUUACGUACUAACAAAUUUGCAUUGUAAAUUGUAAAUCUUGCACAAAAACUAAACACAGAAAUGAGCAGAAGCAGCCGUUUAAUAAAUAAAACAAUGCGCUCUUUAGGAUUCUGUGUGCCCCUGUUUCAACAAAUUUCCCACAUCGUUGAUGUAACUACAUGGUCCUUCUUCUCAGGAUCCAUCUAGAUUGCAUCCAGAAGAAGUUUAAGAAAAAUAAUACUAUAACACUUUCCUAGUAAGUGCAGUCGCUUGGAAAUCUUUGUGAAGAAACUUUAAAUCAUACCAAACCAUAACAACCCUAGAUUCUUUGGUCUUUUGGUUGGUAGAUUUUUGUCCUUUUUAAUUCGAAAUGAACUGAACGUUUACGUACCAAACUGAGAAUGGACCAUCAUAGAAUUUUAGUCCGGUUACAUCUCUAUAUGGUAGGAUGGUUUUUGGAUUCAUGAAGCGUCGUAUCCACCAUUACAAUAUGAGAGAAUGGCAAAAAGAGUUAUUAAGCUAUGCACAAUUUGGUGAUUUGAUCACUAAACUUUUUAUUUAACCAUAAUUGCCAUUCAACUAAUCAAAUAGUGCAUUUUUUUGGUCACUUAACUAAUAAAAACUUAUACUUUUAAUCACUUGACUAAAUAAAAAUAUACAUUCUUUUAUCACGAGAAGUAUGUUUUAAUUAAUUGAAUGAUCAUUUUAGCUAAAUAAAAAGUUUAGUAGCUAAAACAGAACUAUAAAUAGUAUAGUGAAAAUUUGUGUCAUUUGCUCUUACAAUAUUAAACCCAACAUUCAAUUGCGUCACAAUUUGAACACUACAUUGCCGUGUAAUUUCUGUAUUGAAUAUAUUCAUGAACCCUCGUGAACGAUAAGUUCCACUAGGCCUUGUGAAAAUUUGGUGCCAAUUCUUCUGUGGAUGAGAAUUUCAUCAUUCUUUUGUCACCCUCCACUUGCACAGUGUGCUCAGCAGCACAUCAACAAGCCAUUUUUGUUACCCAUUUUGACUUAAUAUAAUUGUCAUCAUGCCCUCCACUUAAAGUCAAAAAGCCCAAUUUCCCUCACACAACAGUUGUUCAAAUCUUCACAUGCAAAAAGGAAAAGGAAAAGAUAUGUGAAGAUCAUCAAAACCGCGUUGUGCAAAUAUAAGCCCUCCACAAGAUUUUUGUGUUUGUUGCUAUUACACCUUUUUGACUUGUGUUGAUUUGAUUGCCUCAACCAAACAUCACCAUACAAAACACCCACACCACCAUCGUAUAUAUUGCUCAUUUGUCCACAAUCAGAAUGUAUAAAAUGAAGCACCACUAAGCUUUAUUAUUACCCCAACCAAGAAAACAUACAGAACAAUUGGGAUAAAGGAAAGAGUUUUGUCUGGAAAUGGCAGGCAGUUUUCUUCUUCGCUUACUAGUGCUUCUUCUUUGUGUUUCUCAGCUCAUCUGCUUCAUGAAUGCUGUACCAGUUACUAGUAAGUAAUCGUACUUGUUUUUCUUAACUUGUUUCUGGCUUUAAAAUCAUUCAGUUUUGCUCUUUCUCCUCAUUAUACAGCUAAAACUCAGCUACACAAAAUUGUUGAUUUCAGGAAUAACGAGUUUGCAGCAUAAAUUUCAAGGUUUUGAUCAAGUCUCAGAAUAUAACAACAUGGUAACUUUAUUUUCAUGCUUUUUCAAUCUGUUGAUAAUUUGUAAGAAAAGUAUGAUCGUAUGUGCAAAAGCAUCUACUAUCUUAUUGGACUCCCUGUCUUAGAGUCCACCUUUUUCCUAUACCAUACGAGCCAAAACCUAAAUAAAAUACCUGAACUAAAUACAGUGAAGUUUACUUGUGUUGCAUACUUGGGUUCUUUUCUUUUUCUGCUUUUUUUUUUUUUUUAUAUCAUAUACUCGGCAUUUAUGAAGCCUAGAGAAAAAGAUUUGGGAAGUUUAUUUGCAUUCAUUCUUUUGUUUUUUGUUUUUUGUUUUUUUUUUUUGGAUGUUCUAGAUAGUACUCUGGGAUUGACACAGUUUUUCUCUUGAAUUACUCAGGAAAUUGUAGAAAAGAACAGUUUGAAUUUGGAGACGAUCGGCAGGAGUAGAAUGGAUCUUGAGCUGAAUGAUUAUCCUGGAUCUGGGGCCAAUAAUCGCCAUACACCGAGGCCACAAAAUUAGGGAGAUGCUCCAAGAUUUCUAUUAGAAAAAGUUGGCAUCAUUGAAGAGUCCGUGGGCAAUCCCUUUCUAGGCAACCAGAACCAGUGAAAGCAGAGUGAACAGCUCUGAUUGCUAGAUAUAUAUUCUCGUUAUCAUUAGUGUUUAGCAAAGUUGUGACCUGUAGUAUGAUUUUCUCCCCAGCUAUGGUAACAGCACAUAAUCGUAGGCAGAUUAGGAUAUGUUCUUUUUACUCAAAACUAGGAAAUGAGGGGUGAUGUUAGAAUUUAGAAGUGUGAAUUUUGAGUGUAUCAAGGUGGGAAUAAAAAGCAGGAGAAUAAUGGGAGUCAAAUUUAGAUAUAUGUCUUAUGUUUAGUCUAAUGAUAUUAAUACUUGACAACUUUACUUCUUGACUCUUUCUCAUGUUUCAUAGUGUACAUACCAUACUUUUGGGCUUUUAUAUUUCCUUUUGGCCAGGCAGAAUGGAGGAGUCAGUGUUUGAUUAAUCCAUCCCCACUGCAUAGGCCUUAAAACAGAGUUGAAGUUGCAUUUUGUUCAUCUAAUGUAACAUAAUUUCGUUUGAAUUCUGGAGUUUCUCAUUAUUAAAGUAUUCUUAUUCUAGAAUUUUCAAACACUUUUUACAAUUGCCUUUUUAUCUCAUAAGAAUAUUUAUAUUAAAAAAAAAAAGUGCUGCAAUAUAUUUUUUUAAAAGCACCCCAAGAACAACUGGCCAAAUAAAACUAUUUAAAAAAAAAGUGGAAAUAGAUAUGGUAUACUCCACUUUAAUAGUUUUGGAUCUUUAAUUUUGAUUUUGCUAAUGGCAUGGGCCGCCAAACACUUGAUUAAUAGAUGUACACUUGUUCAUCUUCCAUAUGCAUUAACCCUUUUUUCACCAUCCAAGAAGUACAAGCAUCACUAGCAGCCUUUUUGGUGAAAUUUUUAAUUGAGGAGUUGGUGUUAGACAGCCAAAAAGUUGUUAAUCUAUAUGGUUGUUUAAGGUAUGCAUAUAAAGUUAGGUAAACCACUGCUUUAAGUAGAAGGUCUAGUAGAAGUAAAUAUCUAGAUCAAACUGGAGAUUAGUUUAUCUUCAGUGGAGACAGUGGAGUUUGAAGAAGUAGACAUCCACUUAUUUCUAUGGCUUUCAUUUGUUAGAUGCAUUCUUGUAUGGUCCAAGAAAAUGGAAGGAAUAGAAUUUAUCAGCUAAGGACUCGUGAGACCACACAAUAUGCCCUUGGAUGUUGUAAAACAAGAUACCAUGUCAAGCCAUUAAUCAUUUUUUAAAAAUCCUGCAAUUAUAUGCAUAAAAUAUCUAAAAUUCAAUUUUGUCCCUUGUGUGGACUGGAGGUUAGGCCUUGAUAUAAACUAGUUGCAAUAUGUUAUAAGAAAAUUUUAUGCUAUUAGGAUGUUUCAUGCUCUUGAGUAUACAUUUUUAAUGCCAAUUUCUCUUUGCACCCUCACAAAGUACAUGCAACAAUCAAUGCUUUGCGAUCAGACAAAAUACUACAUCCUAAUUCAUUAGCAAACCUAGUAACAUUGAGCAAGAUUAACUUCGUGAUUUUUCCUAACAAAGUUGUGGUAUCAAGAAUUAGCUUUUUUGCUGGUCAGGAAUAAAGAACUUGAUGAUUAUGGUCCAGAAUAUGGUGUCUAUAUCUUGUAAUUUGCAUAAUAUCUGAUUAAGACUUUAAUUAAUAAAUAACAUCUUCAAGGUUUCAUGACCAUACAAUUAUAUUAUUGCAUGUACAUGUAAUGAUUAGAAUGUCGUGCAUAUGUUGUGGACAAUUUCAUACAUCUCGAUAAACCUAUGAACAGCUACCACACAUUGGGGUUAAAAGUACCAUGUUGUGCUCUGAGAAAAUGCUUUACAAGAGAUAGUUAGAAAAUGCACCCAAAAAUCUUGCACGCAUCUUUUUGACAUAAAGCUAUGGAUUAAUUGCAAAUUUUGUAACCUAUAUUGUGUUCCCACAAAUUUUCUUCGAGUCCAAAAUCUGCUAUGAGAAAAUUAAAGUUGUUUAAUGAUCAACGGUCUCUACUGCUCAUUUUUGUAUCCUCAUUUAGAUUCUAAAAGUUCUUAUUGUCCUUUUGCCUUAAUAAAAAUUGAAUUUACCUACAAAAACAACUGUAAAAUCAUGAGAUAUGUUUAAACGAUAGAUACAAAAAUAUGGAUUUCUAAAAUUAAGGAGGCGCGUUAUUAUUUAAUUCGUAUUUGCUGUAUAAGUUGUAAACCGUUUAGAAUAGAAUUUUUUGUAAAAAUUAACACGAAGCAAAUGCGUCCUUGUUCGUGCAGGUAUUCAUUUUUUUUCUUCUUAUAACAUGUACGAAAAAGUUAAAAGGAACCUAUUCACAAGCUCCUUUAGUGCUUACUAAGUUUCAAAAAAAAAAUGUUGAACAAUCAUUAUUUACACUGAACUUCUUAGUCACACGUAAAAUUUUCAACAAUUAUGUAUAGAGUCAUGUAAAUGUUCGCAGUACUAGAUUUAACAAAAAAAAAAAAAAAAUUAGAGGAGAAGAAGUGCAAAAAUGUAUUCCUAGCGUGAUGAGGAUGGUGGCAUGGCUGGUGAUGAAGCUUGAGUCAAGAAUGGGAGCUUUUUGAGGAGCUCAUUGGCGAUCAGCUCAUUAGCGGCGUCUGAGGGGUGGUACUCAUCCCAGAACACGUACUUGCUCCGGUCCUUGCACAAUGAUGAUACCGGAAUACAUGUUAGAGCUGGUCGGAUUUUCCCAAAUGAGCAGCAUGGCGAGUCAGCGUUCGAAAACCCUGCAAAUUGAUUGAAUAUUAGCACUACUAAUUGAGUUUAAGUCAUUUUAAAGUAAAAGGGAUGAGUUGUUUUUGAAUCACAUUACACUAUGAUGACCUUGUUUACAAUAUACCUCAUGCUUAGGGACAGACAAGAUCAUGAUGGAGUAUUACUACUACUUUUAUUACAUUAUCAUUCAAGAAUUGUGUGUGUGUGUGUGUGUUUUUCUUUUAAUAUUGCUCAAUGCAAAUGAUGCAUUUGGCUUUCACUGCAUAGGUGUAAAGUGGUUACUUCUAGAUUAGCUCGAAUUGAAGUUUGAAUUAGUGUAGGAAUCAUCAAUUGUAAGCAUAACUGUUUACAUCUUGCAAUCUAGGAUAUGGAGUUCAUUCAUUUUGGCUUUUGAUUUCAUGAAUGUAUAUAUAGGAGUAUUUGUUUUUGACAACACUGGUUGAUAUGCUAAAUUCUUUUCAUAUUAUAAGACACGAAUUAUUGGAAGACACACACAAGCUAUAUUGAUUUUGUUGGCUUAUUUCCUACACAUCAUUUGAGUGUAAGUAAGAAGAAUUUCCUACAUAUACAUGCUAGUAAUAAAUUUGUAGAAAUCAAACUACACCAUUUGUUGCUGUGCACAAAAAUUGAAGAGCUAAACCGAAUCAACGCUCAAAAGUUUCAUAUUAAAUUUACCGUCAAAAAGAUAAUGUGCUACGCAUGUAGACCCGUAGUUAUAUAUAUUGACAGUGUAAGAAAAAUUAAUCCUUAUUCUUAUUUAAAAAAGAAAAAGACCAGAUUUUAACAUAAGAACAAAAGCAUAAACAUGAUGUGAUCAUGUGAUAUUCCCUUUUUACCUGUUCAAUAUUUCCCAAACAUAAGCUAAAUUUAACAAGUUAACUUACCAUUUUUAGAUGGAUUACUUAUGACUUCGUUGACAACAUCAUAAGCAUCUCCAAAAUGAUAGGUCGCAUUUGGAAGGCUGUUGGACAAAUCUGCAACAAGCUUGCCUGCUUGUUGGUUGAAGCUUUGGGCCAAUUUGUUUGUCCUGUCCUGGCAUUCACCAGACGAACUCAAAACCCUUUGGAGUGGGAUGCAACCCAUUGGUCCCAGUCCAAACACCAUCACUUUCCUUGCCCCUAAGCCGUGCAGAAGCUACAAUUUGACAAAAGGAAAAAUACAUUAAAAAAAAAAAGAUCAACAAAAUUGUACAACUGCUUGAAUGAUCAAUAAUGGAGCUGCUGGAACUUGGAGCUAUAUAUGCAAUUUAUGCUUGUGUAACAUAUACAUAUGAAGUAUGGUAUAUGUAUUAGCUAUUUUUAUUGAUUAAACGCUUUAAAAACGUAAACCUCUCUUUGAACUAAAACAGAUCUGAAUGCAUACCACAUAUAUAAAAGAAUAAUUUAGUAGGAAUACUAUCGUGUUAACUUCUUAUAAUUGAGGAGUUAUCGAUGAAUUACCGUAAGUUGAUCUCGAAAUGUACGCAUCAAAUACUGAACAAAAGUUUUGUCAUUGUAAGUAGAAGCAUCGUUGUAAAUUAUUGGCAUCAAGUAGUUGUUGAUGAAGUCAUUGCUUCCCAAAGCUACCACAUAAACAGCAUCCUGGAAAAACUUUUCAGCUGCAGUGUCGCCAAGUUUGGCCCUUAUCAGUUCUUGUGUUCCUUGAAACAACUCGAUUUGUUUGUAGAAGCAAAUUCUCUGGAUCUGAAUUUUGUGAUUGUCCAAUAUAUUUUAGUUUAGUAGGUACUACUUACAAGAUACAAAGAGACAAACAAAAAUGACCGAGAAAGCAAUACCAAGAAAAAAAAAAGGAGGUGGAUUAUUUUUAUUAGAUAGAGUUGUGUGUCAGAAAAAAAAAAAGUAUCAUUUUACUCAAUUUUUUUGAACUUACAAACAAAGAACCCGUCUCAUUCAGAAUCCCACCACCUCCAGAGGCAUAAUUCACUCCACUGUCUAAGAUAACAUCUUCAGUUAAUGAUUGAUCCAUGAAUGCAGGAGGCCUUGGAAGUCCCAUCUUAUCGCCUGAAAUUCACAAAACCAUCCUCAAGACUCCAAACCAAAUCAUAGUAAACAUCCAAAACAAAAGCACAAAAUUGUUCAUUCCAGCUCAGGACAAGGGCUAAAACGGCUGAUUAUCGCUAAUCUUACCACAAUAACGUUAAAACAUUGAAUAAAAAGGAGUUAGAACUUCGAAGUUUUACCUACUAUAUCUGCAACCGUUCUGCCAUUAGAGAACCUCCCAUUAGGCAGCCCGCUGUCCAUAUCAAUACCAUACCAGGGAAGGUUUGCCUUAGCAAGGCUCUUGGAUAGAAAGUUGUUGUUGCCCACAUCCGAAAGGGAGUCCCCAAAGAUGAAUUGCACAGCUUUGCAGUCAUAUCCUUUGAAAAAGACAACUUGAAGAAGAAUUAGAGAUGCCAGAAAUGCUACGUACAACUUCAUAUUGUUGCAUGAACUUUUUGGUUUUUUAAGGCCGAGCAAGAGAAAUGCUGCGUACAACUUCGCAAUUAAAAGUAGUGGAAAUUAUAGUCAACAAAAAAGAGGGUUCAACUGGGAAAGUGGUGAGGAUCAAUAUUUGGUGGAAAGGGAAUGUUUAGAGGGCAAGAAUGGGAGAUGGGUAGAGAUAGUUUGCUGAACCAACACAAGAGGUUAAAGAUUCCAACCUAAAUUCAUCUACCUGCCUUCUGUUACAACGGCGGGAAUCUAACGGGCCUGAAUUUCAACAGUUGCAGUACUAGAAUUCCUGGGCCGUUAGAUUAUAUAUGCAGUUGCAACUCCCAAGUAUUAGUAGUUAAUUGCUAUUUUGAAGAUAAGAGUUUUUGAAGGCCGUUGCGUAAGUUCACCUAAUAUUAGAUUGUCAUUUUCGAUACAUUGUGGACUCUUCUAUCCUCUUCUUCGAAGUUUGGACUUUGGACUGUUCUUAUAAGCAAAAAACUUAAGAAAAAAAAUAGUCAUUUUCAAUCAGUUCGGGUAUGAAAAUGUUGAAUAUAGGCCAACUAGAUUUUAACGCAGUAAACGGAAGGCAGAUUUAGAAAUUAAAUUAAUCUAGCUUUGCUGAAUUUUAGAUCUAAAAGGAAAUCUAAUGCAACUACGAAGUUUGUCACUCUUGGCAACAAAUUUUUCCUUUAUAAAUUAGUCUUACCCUUGCUCACAUUUUGAAACGAAAGAGAGGCACAAGUUUUUGUGGGAUAGAUUUGUUAUUCGAGUUAGCUACUUCAUGUGUAUCCCAACAAGAAAACUGUAUCAAAUUUGGCCAAGCAUAGGCACAUUUUCUUUUUCAACUUCGUACGGUAUUUGAAUUGAUUAAUGUUUUUUACACUGAUAGUACAAAUAAUUCUUACACAAGCAGGUCUAAAUGUAUUUCAGUGUGUGAAAAGGAGAUUAUAGAUGUAACCAAAAUAUAUGUGUAACAAAUUUAAACCUAUGUAUGUUUAAAAAAAUCUAUACUAUAUAUAAAAUGGAAGAGUGUCCAUUUGGUAUAAACAGUUCAUGUCGCUUAAUGUUUUACCAAAAAUGUCCUUUAAAAUUAAUUUUCAAAUUACUCAGAUUUCCUAUUUUUCUCUACCAUGAUGUUAAGUAACGUCUACUCAUAUCACUUCUUUUUCUCUACCAUGAUUUUAAAUACAACAACUUCCUAAUAAACAAAAAAAAAAAAUAGUACUCUAAUGUUAUAUUAAAAAAAUGCCUUUUAAAAAAGCACAUAUAUCAUCUAACAUGAUUCUAUAUAUAAUAGUUGAUUAUAAAAAAAUAAUUAAUUAUAUAAUUUUGAAAUAAGCACACACACUUAGGAAUGACACUAAUAUGAUGUAGGAAGAAUCAGAACUUUGUACAUGUUAAAAAUUUGUGGGUCACGACUCUAAACUUUUUAUGUUAAAGGAUUCUUUCACCAACCGUGCAGAAAUCUAUAGCAAAUUGGGUCAAGUCUUUGGGCCUCCCACAGAUAUACUAACUGACGAAGAGAAAAACAGCGAUCAAAACUAUUGUUGGAUCUCUUGGGCCAGUGCACAAUUAUUUGACUUCUGCUAAAUCUGUGGCCCUUGGAUUUGGUAUGCACUUAAAGAGUUCCAAUUUCUGGUUACUUUUGUUUCUAAUGAGUCCAAAGAACUGUCAAUUUACGAUCAUGAGAGCCCAAAUGCAUUUGCAUGGCGAUCAAUUCUACUAGGGUGGGGUAAUUCCUAAUUUUAAUCCUUCAUCUCUACGGAAUUCUUACUUUGGCCUCUAAACCUCAAAGUAUGACAUUUUAGUUCUUAAAGUUUAAAAUUUGUUCCACUUAAAUAAAAUCUAAAAUUUUAUUGAUAGAUUUUAUUUAAGUGGGACAAGUUUGAUACUUUAAAAACUUAAAUGUCCAAUUUUAAACUAUAAGGACCAAAGUGAGAAGGGUAUAAUUGAAAAGUGCAAAGUAGAACUAACCAGUUUCUUUUGUAAACCAAAAAAUAUUAGGUUAUUAUUUCAGGGAUGGAUUAAUUUCACUUUGUACCUCCAUACUUAUAUCACUUUCCUAAUUUGUAACCCAAACUCUUAAUUUUGGACACUUUGCACCCUAAUUCUCAAGUUUAUCAAAUUUAAAUCCAAUCAAUGACUACAUUCACAAAUUAAUGAGAUAAAAAGCGGUGAAAUCAAUGACAAUGUACCGUUUUGUUCUAAUUGCAAUCCUUAACUUUUGGACCACUUUUAGUACAUUUUUAUUGAUUUAUAAGGUUUCAAUUACUAAUAUUAUUAGUAAAGUUAACGAGAUAAAAAGAUGGUGCAAAUUAAUGAUAAUGCAUGAUUUCAAUUUUGUUUGAUAUCUUGGCAUCUUUUGAUUACUUUUGACACAUUAUCAUUGAUUUACAGAAUCCUCUAUGUCAUUAAUUUUGCUAAAAUUAUCAUUGAUUGGAUUUAAAUAGGACAAAUUUAAGAGUUUGAAAUACAAAAUAUCCAAAAUUAAGAAUUUAGGGUAUAAAAUCUCCGAAGUUGAAGUUAAAAGUAUAAAGUGAAAAGGUGAUAUAAGUUAGAGGUUGCAAAGUGGAGUUUGUCCUUUCAGGGAUAUAAUUUGAUCAGGCACUGUCAUCAAUGUCAAAGGAGAUUUGAGCUUUGGCAUGAACUCCAUUUUUCCAACAGCUAUCCAUACAUGAAGGAACAACUUCAUUCAUUAAAAAAAAAAAAUUAAUUCUACCAAUUGCAUGCCAUGUCAACCAUAUUCAUGAAGUAGUAGUUGAAAUCCAGAAGGUCCUUCUGGUUUGGUGCUUUCCUUAAAUCACUCGGGCAUUGAUCUUGUUAAAGAAGUAACAAAUGAGCAUGUACAUUUUUAUCUAAUUUGGAAAAUUAAAGAACUAUCUGCACUUUGAGUCACUAAUCGCGACAUAGACACUAAACUAGAUUUCAUUUGCAGCUAAAUAUUACUUCUACCGUUAUUAGGCGGAAGUUGUAAUACUCCCUCCGUCCCACUUUGAUAGUCCGGUUUCUUUUUUCAUACAGUUUAAGAAAAAGUAGUUAACUUUGUUGGAAAAGUAAAUUUAGAUUGCUAUUUUCCUAAAAUACCCUCACAUUAAAUAGAGUACAACUUUAUGGGAACUUGAAUUGAUGGUAAAAAAAGAAUCAACUCUCAUUAAAUGGGGUAGGUUUAUAGUAACAAUAACUUACAUUGAAUAAGGGCAUUUUAGGAAAAUUAAAAUACAACUACAUUCUUCAAUUGAAAAGUAGACUAUAAUUUGGGACAGACGAAAAAGGAAAACAUGACUAUCAAAGUGGAACGGAGGGAGUAUCAUUUUUGACCAUGGGAGUUACUCUUAAUAAAGAGUCUAGCAAUGUAAUUGACCUGAGAAAGUCUCCUUUCUAACCAGACAAAGUGAUAAUUGAAUGAUAAUUAUUUUAAGCCCUCUUUCUCUUUCAUGAAUUAAUUAGGUUAGACAUGAUAAAUGACGUCAAUUCCCUAAAAUGAGUUAAAUGGAGGAAAAAAAUAUGUAAUAUUCCCUGCAAAUUUUUUUUUGGUAGAUAUGUCGCAUUUCCUCGUUUCAACAAAACUCAUUGGGUUAUCAUUGUGAAUUGAGAAAGGUAGAUUUUUAUGAUUGUUCUACAAUCGUAAAUUACUUUAUUGGAAUACUGAUUUUUUUUUUAUCCAUCCCUCUCUACACUCUUUUCACUUCCAAUUUUGAGGCACAGAAUUCGAAUUCAAAUUCUAAAUCUGAUAAAUGCGUAGAGAGCUAAGAGUUUUUCUAUGACCACUGGACCAACCCCAGUAAUUAUUGGAAUACUAGUUGUCACAGGCUCACAGCGAAUAUGUUCUCGCUUUAAAUGACUUGAAAGUUUUAGGAGAAGGUCCAACCUCCUGACUUUACACCACUGUGCUGCAAAACAAAAAAAAAGGAAUAAAAACUUUACAUCACUAUGGUUUCUUGUCAUCGUCCUGUUCAGUAGUGACAAAAAGUAAGCCAAGUUAUUAGCUAAAUUUAGGCUUUCUGAAUUUGUUCAUCAACUAUUAAAAUUUAAUGUCAACAAGAUAUAUGGUAACAUGUGUACCACAUCACAUUCCCUAAAAGUUGAAGGAAAAAAGAAGAUUUUAAUAUAAACUUUUCCUUCUAAUCGAAGUGUGUUUGCAUAAGUGAUUAUUUAAAAUAUUAUUUGAAAUAAUGAUAAUAAUUUUUUUUUAAAUAUAAUGUAUGUGAAAUUAAAAUGAACUAAAAAAAUAAAAAAUUAAUUAAGAACUAUAUUUAUGAUACAAGUAGAUAUUCUUUAGAAUAAUUUGUCUAUCCAAAUUGUGGAUGCUUGCGUAGGAGGCUAUUACAAUUUUUGGUUCAACUCGAAUAAUAGUCACAAAGUAGUAGAGUUUAAAGAUGAACCAAAUUAAUUAAUACUCGAAUCGAGUUCGAUUUAAUAAAAACUCGUUCGAGUUUGAUUCGCCAAUUAAUCAAAUUAAACUUAAACAGGGUAGGUUGUCCCCUUCGCGCUUUAAGUGUUACGAGGCCUUAUUUUCGAUAACAUUCAAAGUUAAUAAAAAAAACUUAUUCAAACUCGAUUCAACAAAUAAAUAAACCAAAUUCGAACAAAAUCUCAAAUUUAUUAAAAUAAUCAAACAAAUUUAAACAUUAGAUGAUCGAUUUGAUUUGACUCGUUUACACUCCUAUAUAUUAGUGGAAUGUAGUAUUUUCAAAUUCUUAAUUAAAGAGAUCAAGCUGUUCUCCGGUCUUAACUUGCAUCCUGGUGCUCAACUAAUAAUUUAGAAAAAAAAAAAAAAAACCAAAUUUGUGAAGCAAAGUUAAAGACUUGAAGUACCAUGCAAGCUCCCUACGUGGAAAUAGAUUGAAGAUUGUGGUACCACACCACACAUGGCAAUAUCCUAUUUGCAGGUGCCAACAUUUGGACCCCAAAACUCAACCAUAAUAAAGUACUCCGAAAACCGAGCACUCGGCCAUUAAUAGAGCUUUAUAGCACGAUUUGGACGUAGGCUAAUAUCUAGGGCUUUUUUGAAAAAUCGGCAGUAAUUCGUUGGAUUCCUUUUGAUCUCUUUAUGUUCCCAUCCCUCUGAUGUAAAGUAAGAGUAAAUAUAGAAUAAAAUCCAUCGUACCAAGCAAAAAAAAAAAAAGUACUCGGCUUUGAAAUUGCGUGGCACAAUUGAAGCCACUUCGUCUGCCAUUUUCUGGUCCUAUAUAUUAACGUUCAUUUUUAUGUAAGUAGCACAGAAAUAGACAGUUACCAAAAUAUUGACUUUGGAUUCCGUUAAUAAUUGAGUUAUUUUCAUAGUUAAGAGAUGAAGCUAAUAUACGUAGCACAGAAAUAGACUAUAACCAAAAUAGUGACUUUGAUUCCUUAAUAAUUAAAAGUUAGAAAUUCAGUUAUUCUCAUAAUUAAAAGAUGGAGCUAAUGUACAUUGUUCCUAAUUUCUUAAUUGUCACCUGCUUAUUUUUAGGGGUGUCAAUUGAGUUUUUUUAGCCGAGUUUAGUAAGUCCAAACUAGUCUCAUAAAUUAUUUGUAUUUUUUAAUUUCAGGUUUUCGGGCUUCCAGCUCAUAUUAAAAAACUUAAACUCAACUCACACGAUUAUAUAAGUUUCGGCCUCAAAUUGGGUUUGAACAAAAUUCAUAAUUAUAUAUAAUAUAUAUUUUAUAAUUGACCUUAAAAAGUCUCCUUCCUCACCAAACAAAAUGAUAAUUGAAUAAUAAUUAUUUUAAGCUCUCUUUCUUUUUAUGAAUGAAUUAGGUUAGACGUGACAAAUGAAGUCUGUUCCCCAAAAUGAGUUAAAUGGAGAAAAAAAUAUGUAGGAAAAUAUAUACAAUACGACUACGACUAAGGGUGGGUUUGAAAAAAUUAAAAUCUAAAAAUUGAAAUAUGAAAUCUGAAGUUUGAAUCCAAUAAGUUAUUGAAUUGAUAAAUAUUAAAUCAGAUAUAUUUGAGUGUGUAUCACAUUCAGUGAUAAGUGAAUAACUCAAAAAAUACAUCUCAAAUAUUUUAAAAAAUAAAAAAAAAUUUCCCUCUUUUUUCUUCCACGUGCUAUGUACCAUCACCACACCACCCAUUACAUUCCACUAACACCGUCACCACCCCCACACCCACAACCCCUUCCUCUCUCUCUCUCCACCUCCCAAUCCCCCCUCCCCCCUCCCCCUCUACUAACCACAAUCUUCCUGAUCGUGGCCAGAUUUGAUCGCAACUAGAAAGGUCUCGACCAAGGAGGUCGCGACUAGAGUGGUGACCGGAAUCGUAGCCAUUACCUACGAGUGGGAGAAGUGUUUGGGGCUGGGGGAGAGGAGGAGAGGAGGGAGGAGGGAGAGGAAAGAGGGAGGGGUAGGAAAGAGCGGGGAGGAGAGGGAGAGAGAGGGGGGUGUGGUAGCAGUAGGUAGUGGUAACGGAUGAUGUAACAUUUUUUAAAAAAUUCAAAAAAGUGAUAAAUUGUAAAAAAUCUCAAAAUAUAUUUUAGAAACCCCUAAAAAUACUCUUAAAAACACUUUCAAAAACAUCUAUAAUAAAAAUUUUUUAUAUAUACAUUUCUAGUAAAAUAAAAGCUAAUCUAAAUGGUUAUGGUAUAAUCAAAUAAAUUUAUACAAAUAAUAAAUCUGAAACUGCGUGGCACAAUUGAAGCCACUUCUUCUGCCACAUGCAAAACCAGUACAAUCACUCCCCUUCUGGCCAGAAAAGAAAAGUUCACUCGUACUCCAUACUCCUAUUAGAAAAUGCCCCCAAAAAAAAUCCUAAAAAGAAAGAAAGAAAGAAAGAAAACAAAUCCAAAAUCUAUCCUCAUUAUCCUCAAUAAAUCCUACCCCUCCAUCCCCACCCAUCCAACGGUCCCUAUCCCAAACCAUAUCCAUAAAAAUCAUCGAAAAAUUCCACAAAUCUUUUUUAUCUUUCUAAGUUGCUGCUGGACUUCUCUUGCUCUUGGCUGGUUCUCACUUCUUUCUCAGUAAGUAAACUAACCAAAAGAAAUAUGGCUUCAAUUGCCCUGAACCUGAAGACCUUCGUUGGACUCCGGCAAGCGUCGCCGGAGAACAACCCCAUAACCGCCCUCGCAAAACCCAGCUCCACCACCACUGCCGCCCGCAAACAGCUCCGCAUAAAUGCCGCCAAAACCAGCCCAAAAGUCACUGGCCGCAACCUCAGGGUCGCAGUGGUAGGUGGAGGCCCUGCUGGUGGCUCCGCCGCUGAGACUCUCGCAAAAGGUGGCAUCGAAACCUUCCUCAUCGAGCGCAAGCUCGACAACUGCAAGCCCUGCGGCGGCGCCAUCCCGCUGUGCAUGGUGGGCGAAUUCGACCUCCCGCUAGACAUCAUAGACCGCCGGGUCACCAAGAUGAAGAUGAUUUCCCCCUCCAACGUCGCCGUAGACAUCGGCCAAACCCUCAAGCCCCACGAGUACAUCGGAAUGGUCCGCCGUGAGGUCCUCGACGCCUUCCUCCGCGACCGCGCCGCCACCGCCGGAGCUACCCUGAUAAACGGACUAUUCCUGAAAAUGGAAAUGCCUAGCUCCAAAACAGCCCCUUACCGCCUCCACUACACCGAUUACAACGCGAAAACCGGCGUCUCCGGCGGGAAAAAGACUCUGGAAGUCGACGCCGUAAUCGGAGCCGACGGUGCCAACUCCCGGAUCGCAAAGUCCAUCAAUGCCGGAGACUACGAAUACGCCAUAGCCUUCCAAGAACGCGUAAAAAUCCCAGACGAAAAGAUGAAAUACUACGAGGAUCUCGCCGAAAUGUACGUCGGAGACGACGUCUCACCGGACUUUUACGGGUGGGUUUUCCCCAAAUGUGACCACGUGGCGGUCGGCACCGGCACUGUCACCCACAAACCCGACAUCAAGAAAUUCCAGCUCGCCACAAGGCUAAGAGCCAGAGACAAGAUUGCAGGGGGGAAGAUCAUAAGAGUGGAGGCUCAUCCCAUCCCGGAGCAUCCCCGGCCGAGGAGACUGCUGGACAGAGCCGCAUUGGUGGGGGACGCGGCCGGAUACGUGACGAAAUGCUCCGGCGAGGGGAUUUAUUUCGCGGCGAAAAGCGGGAGAAUGUGUGCAGAGGCAAUAGUUGAGGGAUCAGAGAAUGGGAAGAGAAUGGUGGAAGAAGGGGAUUUGAGGAAGUAUUUGGAGAAGUGGGACAAGACAUAUUGGCCGACUUACAAGGUUCUUGAUGUUCUGCAGAAGCUGUUUUACAGGUCGAAUCCGGCAAGGGAAGCAUUUGUGGAAAUGUGUGCUGAUGAAUACGUGCAGAAGAUGACUUUUGAUAGCUAUCUGUACAAGAAGGUUGCUCCUGGGAAUCCCAUCGAGGAUUUGAAGCUGGCUGUGAAUACAAUUGGGAGUUUGGUGAGGGCUAAUGCUUUGAGGAGGGAGAUGGAUAAGCUCAGUGUAUGACGGAUUGAUUAAUUGUUAGUAUUUGAUACAUUUUGUGUAAUUUUUUUUUUGAAUGUGGAUUGAGGAAUAGUACAGUGAUUCUAAUUUGUGCAUCCAUAGUUCAAUUUCAUAUAUGAUAAAUCUUUAUGAGGAAGGUUGUAUGCCAGCUUGUAAUACUGUAGUAGUAAUUUGUGCUUUUCCGAUCUCAAAGUGUGCCAAGCUUGAAGGAUCUCAAAGUUUUGUGUCCAACAAUCACUUUGGCCUCUAUGGGAUAAAAGAUGUGGAUUCCUUUUUUUUUUUCUUUUGGGACAAUGACGUUCACAUUAAUGUAUUGAUGUACUUAUUCUUUUUUUUUUUUGGUUAAAAAUUGAUGUACUUAUUCGAGCGAGCAAAUCUUAUAUAAUUUAACAGUGUAUAUAUACUAUUUACGUAAGAUGAUUAUAUAUUAUUAGUGUUAGAUAAAUUAGCGUAAGAUAAUUAUAUAUUAUUAGCGUUAGAUGAAUGAUAAUCGUGCGAAAUUUGAACUUCAUAACUAUGCAAAAGUUAAAUUUUUGUAUAAAUUUUUUAUUUGUAUAAAAAAUGUGGAUUCAGUUUUUAAAAGUUAAAAAAAAAAAUUUGUUUAAUGGGGAAAGAUAUGUAAGAUUUCCAACAGGGCCAAUGCCUGUUUUGUGCCAAUCAAAUUCAAAUGGACUAUGAAACGUUGAAGUCUUUAAAUGCUCAAUUUUAGUAUUGGAGGCCCAAGCUUUCAAGACGGAUACUCUUCAACAGAAAUCUACACUUUUUUUUCCCUUCAAAGAAAAAAAGAAAUCUACACUUUCCGUACAUUUAUCAUUUGUACCGUUAAGUGCAUAUAAAUUGGAGGGAAUGGAAUUAACACUUUACCUUCUCAACUGUUUUCUGCCAUGAUAUACGAAUUAUGCAUACAUGUCCAACUAAGUUCUUUUAAUCUGAUAUAAGAGACUGAUUACUGAUGCCUACUAGUUCAGACAUCAAUGUGUUUUUUUAUUUCUGGACGAGCAAAUCUUUGGAAUAUAUCGUUGUAAAUGCAAGAAGAAUAAUUGGAAGCAAAUUUGGUUUGUUUAGUUAAAUUGGUUUAAUUUGCAAAAUAUGGCAAAAUUGGUAUAGAAAGGUGCAUGCUCGUUGUAUUUUUUAUGGCAAAAUCUCACUUCUCAUAUUAUUUUUUAUUUCAAUAUUUAUUAGAUCGUUGUAUCCUUCAAAAACAUCUCAUUUUAAUUCGUUUCAUGUCCCUUUAGGUUCCAACAAUUAUUUAUAGGGUAGAAUACAAAAAAUAAAAAACUAAAUAACAAUACAUAACAGAAAACGAAAAAUCAGAAAAUUUAUUAAAAACCCAUUUUUAGUUUAAUUUUAUUUCUCAAGUAUGUGAUCUUUUAUAUUCUGCUCUAUUAGUAGUAUUAGAAUUUAAAGGGAUAAAAAAAAGAAUUAAAAUAGGAUGAUCAUGAAAGAUAUAUGGCAAUUUAAUAAAUGUUGAGGUAGAAAAUAGUAAAAAAAGUAGGGCAGAAAAUGUUUUGCGCGAUUGUAUAUGGCCAAGAGGAAGAACGCGUUAUGAAAACUUCUUCUACUUACUAAACUAAUUUUCUUCAAAUUUGGUUCUACGUCGCUUAAUUGCAUUGCCUUCAAGAGAGACUCAAAAUCCAUGUCUAGUCUUAUAGCUAAGUUUUAUUGAAUUGCACGAACAGUUAAGAGGCCAUCUUACAUAUUAUUGUUCAUUUUCAUGCAAGUAGCACAGAAAUAGACUAUUACCAAAAUGUUGACUUUGGAUUCCCUUAAUAAUUAAAAGUUGGAAAUUAAGUUAUUUUCAUACUCCCUCCAUCCCAUUGAAAGUAUCAUAUUUUUUAUUUUAAGAUUCCACAAAAUAUUUGUCACGUUAAGAAAAUCAAAGCCUUUUUCAGUUUCUUCUUCCAAUAUAGUCCCUCUGUUUAAUCAUAUGUAUGUUACAAUUCAAAUUCAAAUUUUAAAUUUGUGAGAGUAAGAUUGAAAAGGAAAGUAUAAACAUCACAAUCAAACCACUAUUCUUAAAAAGUUGGAUUCUUGAAACACGAUAAAAUAAUUGGAACAGAGGGAAUAAUUAAAGGAUGGAGCUAAUAUACGUAGCACAGAAAUCGACUAUGGCCAAAAUAUUGACUUUGGAUUCCUUAAUAAUUAAAAGUUGGAAAUUGAGUUAUUUUCAUAGUUAAAAGAUGGAGCUAAUAUAAAUCUUUCUUAAUUUCGUAAUUGUCACCUACUGAUUUUCAGUCUGGCUAAUGGAUGUAUAUGACGGCCUUAUGGACGUACAAUAAAUUAAUGCCUAAAGUGUAGAUUUGGGCACAUAGUUUGCUCCCUGGCCUUUUGAUUUCUGUUCAUAGCUAACCAAUUAAUUAAGAGGCAUAUUCUAGAUUGAAUACAAACGAAAUAAUUCAUUCUCCUGAAAUUUUUACACUUGCCGCAAGGAAGACUAACAAAACAAAACCUUGAGGCAUAGUUUAGGAGUUUAGGAUACAAAAGCAAGGAGGAAAAGCCUUGGUCAUUAUAUUUAUAAUUUUUUGGAGAGAAAAUUUCACCAAGUAAAAAGUCUUUUAAAAAAUAACCCCAAAAUUUCUUUACUUCUACAGUUCUUUCAUUACAGACCAUCCAAACUAGUUGUCACUCCACAUUAUCUUUGGACUUCCAAAAAAAAAAAAAGGAAAAGUAUUUGUUACUUUUGGUACAAAGGGUGCUAAAUUUACUUUGGCUUUUCUAAAUUUACACUUUAAAUAUAUAGAUGCUUUUUUUUUUAAGUAGGGCAUCUUGACUUUAAAUAUAUAGAUGACUAUUGACUUGUACGGUAAAUAUUACCAUUUUUUUAAAGUAUGCAUUAAAAAUAAAUUACUGGAUUUAGCAUUUCCCUUAUAUAAUCCACGAGUUAUGUUUCUUAAUGAGUUUUUGGGCUGAAUACGUUCUCGUCUAAGUUGGCUUAUGGACGAACAUGAAACUUUGAGAAUGAACUUGAUUAUGAAGCAAAAAUCUGAAGAGAACCAUCUGUUUUCGAGUACAAAUGCUAUUUGUUUGGCAAACGAUAUUGACAGAGCAAUUAUUUUCUUGGCAAAGCAAAAUUUUACAAAUAUCAAGAUUACCUUCAAUCAAUCAACUUUAUAUACGCUCAUUGAUUUUUCUAUACACUAAUCACUGCUCUUUUUUCUCUCUAAUUAAGUAUUUUAUGUUAUGGUCUCUCACUCUCCCCUCGGCCCCCCUAUUAUUCUUCUCUCUCUCUCUUGCACUCACAUUGAUUGAUCAAUUAUUUUUUAUAAUUAUAUAACCUAGUUUGGUGAUAAUCUUUAUAGAAAUUUUUUUGCUUCAACAAGCUCUUGUUAUUCAAAUCUAACACUUUUAUUCAACUUUUUUAAAACAUGAUUCAACUCCAACAAAUUUCGGUUUAAAAUGAUUUCUGUUAUGAUGCCAUUGUAACUCAAUGCUUUAGUAUAUUUAAAAAUUUUUUUGACAUGCAACAUGUAUUUUUCCUUUAAAUUUUGCUUGUUUAUCGUACCUUUGAACAACUAAUACUAUUAAAAUUUUUACUACAUUUUCCACUUUUAUACUAGACAUGUAAAUCUUGGCUUCUAUUAAGUACUCAUAUUUGUCAUGUAAGCUUUGGUUUCUAUCAAGUAGUCAUAUUCUCUUAUACAUUACAUUACGUUGUAUAUUUCACCCGUCCUCGCUUCUUAAAUUCCAAUAUUCCCUUGCUAAAAAAAAUCCUUUUAUAUUCCUUAAAGAUUGAAGGAAAAGUAAAGCUAUUUAUUUUUGGGUUAUUUUCAUUUUUAGCCUAUUGUUUGAGUUAAAUAUAUAGAUGACUAUUGACUUGUAUUGUAAAUAUUAACAUUUUUAUAAAGUAUGGAUAAAGAAUAGAUGACCGGAUUUAGCAUUUCCCUCAUAUAAUCCAGGAGUUAUGUUUCUCAAUGAGUUUUUGGGCUGAAUACGUUCUUUGUUGCAAAAAUGAAACUUUAAGAAUGGACUUGAUUUUGCGUAAAAAUUUAAAGAGAACUGUCUGUUUUUUAAGUAAAAAUGCCAUCUGUUUUGAUACCCAUUUUGUUGCAAAAAAUUUUCACUCUCACAGUAAACAGUCUUCAAUCAUCUUUUCAUUUUUAAAUUAUAUUUUUGUCUCACAUAUAUCGUGUCACAAAAAAUAAAAUAUUAUAGUAUUAUUCUAAAAAGUUUUUCCAAAUAAUCUUCGAUUCAAGUCAUGGAAAACUUUUGAGAUAGCAACAUGCGCAAAACAGAUUUACCAGAAAAUAUUGCAAGAUUAUAAGAUUGAGAAUAAAAAAAAAAAAGCUUUAUGAGAACUUCUCCUACGCAAUUUUUUUUUUGGUCAAUGGUCAACUUCUCCUACGCAAUUGAUUUACCUGAUUUCCUUCAUUUCUUUUUGGGCCUACCAGGGUAUAGGUGGCAAAUCAACCCAUUUAAUUAAAUUUAUCCAUACUCGUCCGUGAAUAGAUGGAUAUGGAUAUUUUAAAUUUUUGUACAUGGGUAUAAAUGGAUUACUGUCAGGGACACCAGAUAAUUCGACUAUCUAGUGUGGAGAUUAGAAGGAAGAAUUAGAGAAGAGAGGCAGAAGAGGGAAGGAGAGAAGAUUGAAGAGAGAGAAAGAAUAGAAAUUGUUAUUUUUUCAAAAAUGUUGUUAUUACAAUUAAUGGUGGUCCCCACCUUUAUAACAACCUGAUUUUGGUUGUUAAUCCUAACUGACUGAAUACUCACCACUAAACUACAUCGUUUUGAUUGCAAUUAAUCCAAGCCUGACAAUUCCCUACCCAUAAAACAGACUCGUCCUCAAGUCUGAAAUUCAGAGAAUUGAUGUUCAACAGAAGACUUGUCCUCCCAAGAUGCCUCCUCAUAAUCCAAGUGAUUCCAUUUAAUCAAAAACUGAAUAACUGGCUUUGCAUCUCGCAUAAUAACCCUCCUUUUCAGAAUUACUUCUGGCUUUAAUGGACAUUGAUCCUGAAAGUCUAAUUCUGGUAGGGCAAUGGAGCUGCCCUACAUUGGCCCCAAUUUCUUCUUAAGUAAAGACACAUGGAACACUGGAUGUAGUUUGGAGUCUGCUGGAAGCUUAAGUCUAUAGGCUACUGCCCCCACCUUCUGCUCAAUCGGGAAUGGCUUGUAAUACUUAGUUGCUAAUUUGAGACAUUUCCUGAUAGCCACAGUCUGUUGUCUGUAGGGUUGGAGCUUUAAAAACACCCAAUCCCCCACAGAGAACUCCCUUUCAGAUCUGUGAUGAUCAGCAUACUGUUUUAUCCUUUGUUGAGCCUUGGUCAAGUUCUCCUUGAUGCAGUUGGAUAUCUUGAUCCUUUCCUGCACCAUGUUAGAAACUGCAGGAAUCAUGGAGUCUAAAUACGGUCCCAUUGGUAAAUGUAAUGGCCUGUAUCCAAACAAGGCUUCAAAAAGGGUCAUUCCCAGACUUGAAUGGUAGGUGGAAUUGUACCACCACUCAACCAGAGAUAACCACCUGCCCCACUGGGAAGAAAGCUCUCCAGUCAUAUACCUCAGGUAGUUUUCCAAACAUUGGUUGAGUCUUUCACUCUAACCAUCAGUCUGAGAAUGGUAGGAUGAAGAGUAAUGUAGCUCAGUCCCAACUAACUUGAAAAGCUCUUUCCAGAACUUGCUGGUGAAGAUUUUGUCCCUAUCAGUGAUGAUAGACUCUGGUAGGCCAUGUAGCUUAUAGAUGUUAUCCAGAAAAGCUUGAGCAACCUCCUUUGCUGUGAAUGGAUGUGUCAAUCUGAUGAAAUGACCAAACUUGGUGAAUCUGUCAAUAACUACUAGUAUAGUAUCAUAGCCUUGUGACUUAGGCAAUUUCUCGAUGAAAUCCGUAGCAAUGUGAGACCAUGCCUACUUAGGUACAGAGAGUGGUUGCAGCAAUCUGGGAUAAGGAACAUUUUCAGACUUGUUCCUUUGACAGACAUCACACUUCUGUACAAAGGACACCACUUCUUGCCUUAUGCCUGGCCAGUAGAAUAAGUUCCUAAUUUUCUGCCAGCAAUUCCUCUGGCCUGAGUGACCACCUAUUGCUGAAGCAUGUAAGGCCCGUAUAACUUGCUCUCUGAUGUUCCCUGCCUCUCCAACAUAGAUCCUACCCUGGUAUUUCAAUAUUCCAUCCACCAGCGUAUAGUCAUUGUGAGAGUUGGGAUCUAGCACUAGUUUAGCUAUAAUGUCUUGGUAGUGAGUGUCAUCCUCAUAACUUUUUUGCAACUCUGCAAUCCAGCCAGGCUUGACAGAAGUAAGAGCCAUACAAGAGCUCAGUGCAGCUUUAUGUAUAACUUCAUGUAUCCUAAACAAUGCAUCAGCCACCUGGUUUCAUUACCUUUUUUGUACUGUAUCACAUAGUCCAACCCCAGAAGCUUAGUCAUCCACUUAUGUUGAAAUGCAGUGUUCAAUUUCUGAUCCAACAUAUACUUCAGAGACUAGUGGUCAGUUCUAAUGAUGAAAUGAUUCCCAACCAAGUAGUGCCUCCAUUUAGUAACUGCCAUUACUAGAGCAAGGAGUUCUUUUUCAUACACUGAUAAUCCCAAGUUCUUAGCUGAGAGUGUCUUGCUUAAGAAGGCAAUAGGGUGCAUCAGAACUGCCCCUAUACCUCCUCUACUGGCAUCUGUCUCUACUACAAAAGACUUCUUGAAAUCUGGCAACUGAAGAACAGGAGCUGAGCAUAUCAGUUUCUUAAGUUGAUCAAAAGAAUUUUGUGCCUGCAUAUUCCAUUUGAAGCUAUCCUUUCUGAGCAAUUCAGUAAGUGGCUUGCAGACAAGCCCAUAAUGCUUUAUAAACCUUCUAUAAUAUCCUGUCAGUCCCAAAAAACCUCUCAGUUCCUUAACAGUUUGUGGUAUGGGCUAUUGCAGAAUGCUUUUGACCUUGGAAUCAUCCAUAGUGACCCCCUGUUCAGUAAUGGUAUGCCCCAGGUAGUCCACUUGGUCUGGGCAAAGGCACACUUGGAUUUCUUCACGUAUAGUUGAUUACUUCUCAGAAUGUCAAACACAAUCCUCAGGUGAUGCACAUGAGCCUCCACUAUAGGACUGUAUACAAGAAUGUCAUAAAAAAAUACCAGAACAAAUUUCCUCAAAUAAGGUUGAAAUAUCUGAUUCAUCAGUGAUUGGAAUGUGACAGGAGCAUUUGUCAGCCCAAAAGGCAUGACUAGAAAUUCAAAGUGCCCACAGUGAGUUUGGAAGGCUGUCUUGAAAGUAUCCUGAGGUUUCACUCUGAUAUGAUGAUAUCCAGUUGUGAGAUCCAACUUAGUCUUAAGCACAGCACCUGUUAGUUCAUCCAGUAGCUCAUCCACAUUAGGUAUUGAGAAUCUGUCCUUGACAGUUAAUUCGUUUAGCUUCCUGUAGUCCACAUAAAAUCUCCAAGUACCUUUUUUUUUUUACUAGCAAAAUAGGGGAGGCAAAAGGACUAUUGUUGCACUUGACUAUACCUUUCUGCAACAUCUCAGUAACUUGCUUCUCAAUUUCCUCCUUAUGGCAAUGGGGUAUCUAUAAGGUUUCAAUUUGAAUGGCUGAGUUCCUAGUUUGAGAGGUAUUUCAUGGUCCACAUUUCUACUGGGAGGUAAGUCACUUGGGGUCUGAAAUACAUCUUCAUAAUGUUGUAGUAAUUCAGCUACUUCUGAGGGUAUAGGGUCAGCUUCUCUUCCUUUAUUCUGUGCUGAGCUCAUUGCCAUACACAUCUGCUUCUUGUACUUUAUGAAUCUCCUUAAAUCCUUUCUCCUGAUUAGGUCCAGAUCACAAUCUUCUGCUCUCCCAUGCAACUGAAUCUCAUCUUCCUCAUGAUGUAAGGAUAUUCUGAGCUGAUAGAAAUUGAAUGUAAUUGGACUAAAGUGUGUCAUCCAAUCCACUCCCAAUAUUAUGUCCCAACCCCCAAGUUCCAUUACUUUGAGGUUGAAUCUGAAAUUAUGUUGGUUAAUCCUCCAGUGCACAUUAGGACAAAUAGCAUUACUAGUUACACACGAUCCAUUGCCCAUGAUACAGAAAAGGGCUGAUCUACCCAUUGAUACCCAAUAUCCAUGCCAAUGACCAACUCACUGUUGAUGUAACUGUCUGAGCUUCCAGUAUCCACCAGCAUGAGCACCUUCUCCCCAUCAAGGAUGCCCACCAGUGUAAUGGUUUUCCUUUUUAGUGCUUCAGAUAAUGCAUGUAAGGACAUCUCCAUUGCCUGCCCAGGAUUCCCUGUCUGUUCAUCCUACUUCCCCAACUGCAUCUUCAAAGGUAGAUUCCUUCUCUUCUUCUAGGAACAUGCAGUUUGCAUAGCCUACCUUGCACUGGUGGCCUAUUCCAUACUUUUCCCCACACUUGAAGCAUAGUCUAUUAACCUUCCUAUACUGCAUUUCCUGUGUUGAAGGUUUCCUUGAGUCCUUGAAUUCCUCUUGAGGGUUUUUGAACUUGGAAUGUCUGAAAUUGCUACUAGCAGGCACCUUGUAUGAGUGACUCCCAGUAGUUGGUGUAUUACUCCUUGUCAUUCCAAACUUAUGCUCCCCUACAACUUCGGUAAUGUCCUUAGUAUUCCUAUGUUAGAUCCUGAUUGACUGUUCCUGCCACUGUGAAAUCUCAAAUGCUUCUGUCAAGGUAGUAGGUUUAAGCAUCCUGACCAUAGGUUUGAUUUCCUCUUUUAAUCCACUUAUGAAACUGGAAACAAAAUAGUUUUCAUCUAGAUUUCGAUUCUUAGUCAUCAUCAGAGGUUUCAGUUCUUCAAACUUUUCCUGAUAUUCUCUCACACUCCCUUCCUGUUGCAGCUUAUUGAACUCUUCUAUCACAUCUCUGCAAGUACUAUCAUUGAAUCGCCUACACAGUAAAUCACUAAAUUCUUCCCAGUCCAAUUUAGGUUUCUCAAUUUUUACCCCUUGAAACCACUUGUCUGCUCUACCUUCUAGAUACAUUUCAAUGACCUCAACUUUCUAUUCCUCAGGAACUUGAUAGUUCAAAAGAUAUUUAUUACAUUUGCGCAGCCAAUCCCUAGGAUUUGCUCCAGAAAAUAACUGUAAAUCAAUUUUUGGAGGAUUUGGAAUCUGAAACUUACUCCAGUCCUUCUUGAAGGUCUUCUGAACCUCCAUUUCAACCUGUAGUCUCUGGUGAGCUAGAGGAGCAGGUAGAAUUGGUGUUGGAUCCACGUUCGCUCUUCCAUCCUUUUCUGGCACAUUAUCUUUCCCCGUUGUUAUCUUCAUCAGUAGGCUGUUAAACUUUUGUUCCAGAAUUCUAUCAAGAUUCUGUUCCGUUCCAGUGACCAGAUUCUCCAUUCUCUUGUUGCUUUCUUCGAGCUCUAUUUUCAUUUCGCUCCUUAUUCGUUGUUGCUCCGAUUGAGCUGAAUGCAAGGAUUCUAGCAACUCCUGGAGCUUGAACUCCUAUUUCUUCACUUGUUCCUCCAAUGUUCGAAAUCGAGUGCCUUUCGCCAUUGAAUUUCAAAGCGAGCUCUAAGGAUCGAUAGAUCUGGAUACCAAUUGUCAGGGACACCAGAUAAUUCGACUAUCUAGUAUGGAGAUUAGAGGGAAGAAUUAGAGAAGAAAGAAGAGAGGCAGAAGAGCGAAUGAGAGAAGAUUGAAGAGACAGAAAGAAUGGAAAUUGUUAUUUCUUCAAAAAUGUCGUUAUGACAAUUAAUGGUGGUCCCCACCUUUAUAACAACUUGAUUCUGGUAGUUAAUCCUAACCGACUCAAUACUCACCACUAAACUAUAUAGUUUUGAUUGCAAUUAAUCCAAGCCUGACAGUUACACAUCGUUGAAGAAGAGGAGUUUUGGAUUCUUUAUUGCCAUUGUGCACUGGUUCUAUAGUGUUUAUCGAGCCUUUGUUUGAUUUUGUAAAGUUUAAGUUAAUCUAUAAAAUCACUUAUCGUUUCGGAAAAAGAAAAUAUAUAAAUGGGUUACCCAAUAAUACCCAAUAAUAAAUGGGUAUUAUUGAGUAAUCCAUCAAAUUCAAUUAAUCCAUUUAGAAUUAUUUUCCCCAAAUUUCUUCACUUUCCCCACCCAUUUUUUUUUUUAGAUUUUGCAUUUUGUUAUGAUGUUAACUACUUUUGUUUCAUUAUUAUUAUUAUUUGUUAGUUUUAUCUUGUCAUUUUAUUUUCUUUUAGUUUGUUAACCUACUGAUUUUUCAGCAUUACCAAUUUAUGAUAAGUUUUAGCCACUUUUCCUACCAUUCCAAAAUGAAAUUUUAAAUUUACACAUAAAAAAAUGUUAGGGGUUCAAAAUUUUUGGAUUAAAUUUUUAUGUUAAUUUUUAUAGUACGUAGUUCAAAUUUUUAUAUUCUUAUUAUUCAAUUAUUAAAUAGUAUGUAAUUUUGCGACAUAGAGUAGGGAUAGAAAAAAAAUUGGUAAUUAGACUUAUUGAACAUUAUAAGUAAAUUUUAAAAUUAAUGAUGGAUACAAAGGUGGUAUAAAUUGAUAAUUUAGUUUGCAAAAAUAAAUUUAAAUGAGUUUACACAAAUUUAAAAUAAAUGGGUUAUAAAUGGAUAAUUGAAUUACCCAAUUCAUUUUUUGACUUACUCAUUUAUACCCAUCUAAUUAAAUGAAUAUAAAUGAGUUGAUUCACUUAUACCCAUUAUCCAUUUUAUUGAACUCACACCCAUUUUGACACCUUUACGCUAGGGAAAAGGGGGGCAUGGCAAGUAAACAAUAUUUUGCACUAACUGUUGUGGUACUAACUCGCUUUUCAAGUUCAAGAUAGUGUUUAUUUGCAAGAAAAAAUAUCGAAAAGCAAAAGAAAGUUAGUUAUUUUUUUCUUUCAUUCAUGUUUUGGUUAGCGAAAAAAAAGACGAAAAAUUUUCUUGCACUUUCUUUCACCUUCCUGCAUUUUGUGUAUUGCAAAAUUUAUAGGAUUUUGAAGAAAAAUACUUUCCUACAUUUUGUAUACUGCAAAAUUUGUAGGAUUUUGAAGGAAAAAUUUUUAACGGCUAUCACUAACUAUCAUCAACUUCCCAUUUCUUGGUAACCAAACAUAAACUGGAGAAUAACUUUCAUUUUUCCUUACUUCACUUCGUUGCACUUUACUUUCUCACGCAAUUUUUGUUCUAAUCAAACGGAGUGCAGGCGGUUUUAAUUUUUCCUUUGAGUCCAGUGGAGGCCUGUUUAAAGUUCAAAGGGCUUUGGUACUUUUGUUAGUGACCCAAUCGAGUAUGGCUUCCCUUCAUUUUGCCUAAUAUUCUCCACGUCGUAGCCCACAAGCGCUUGUUUGGAUAUCUAGAAUUUCAAAAAAGAUUUUCAAAUUUUGUUUUGCUUAUAUCAUACACACAAUUUUCACAAAUAUAACGUCACAAAAAGUGUUACAAUAAUUAUUUCAAAUAACCUCCCAUCCAAACAACACUAGAUAUAAACCAAAAUAUUUUUAGACCCAGACUGGUUCUUGAUUUUUUUGAUUCAACCAAUUUAACCGGUCGGUUCACCAGUUCCUUGUUUUUAUUAAUAUUUUAAAAAUUAAAAAAUGCUAAUAAUAAUAAAUUAUGUAAAAUAAGUACAAAAAACCUAAAAUGUAGAAUUUUCUCCACGAAAUGCAUACACCAUGCUAUUUCAAAAGCAAAAUCAAUCAAAAAAUUAAUCAUAAUUUCUUUGAAAAUGUAAAAAAAUUAAAGAAAAUUUAGAAAAAAAUUCAAUUCCAUCUCUAACUUAUCUAGUUUUGCAAUGGCUUUGUCAAAUCACCACCACCGUAUCAUCUCAUCUUUUUUUUUCCUUAGGCAUCAUCCCAUCUUCAAUUGAAGAUAAUCAUUUAUCCAAAAAUUUUCUCACAUACUAUACAUGUUUCAAAGGUUUCAGAUUUACAUCAAUCUCAUCAUCAUCUUCACGAUAUACAAAGUAAAUCAAUUUUUCACAUCUAAGUCUUCUAAAAUCUUUUCAUUAUCCUAAGUGUGUAAAGAUAAAAUAUGAAAUAAUACCAAAAAAAAAACAGAAGUAGCAAUAACAGUAGCCCUGCUGCGGUAGUGGUGGGGAUGGCAGUAGCGACGUGAGUGGUAAGAGAUGGCAUCAGGUGCUUGUUGGCAGUAUGGGUGUAAAGAAUAAAAAUAGCAUGGUCACCAGAGAAUAAGGUAGGGUUGGUGUUUCUUUUAGUUGAUAUAGAUUUUUUUUUCCUAUAAAAACCCUCAAGAAAGUUAAUAUAAACACAUUUGAAAAGAAAAUGAGAUUUGGAGAAGAGAAAAGGAGGUGAAGAAAUAGAGAAAAAAAGUUAGAGGAACAAUUGAAAAGAGGAGUUAAUAGCUGGUGACUUUAGUUUUUGGGUUUGUGUGAUUUUAUUACUUAUUUUACUUUUUAAUAAGUUAAAAGUUAAAAAAACUGCAGUUUUCGCAGUUCACCGAUUUGAUAUCGAUUUAAUAGUUUUGAUCGGUCUUGACCCUUUUUUCACAUUGUUCGGCUUUUGUGCUCAACUAGACAGGGAACAUGGUCAAUUCGUGGUUCAAUCAAUCAAACCAACUGGUCUAAUCCGAUUUUAAAAACAUUGAUAUAAACAUAAUGCAGUCCAACUACUCUUUCAUCUUGUAAUAUCUAUACAAGUUAAUUUUUUAAAAUAAACAAACCACAAAUUUAUAAUUUAAUCAUGUGGUCAGAUAUUUUUUUUCUUCUAAAACUGGCAUUUACACUCAAUCAAGUUCAGAUUCAUCCUAUUUGUGUCGAUGUGCUUCAAAUUUGAGGACAAAUCAUGAAUUAGCAAGCAUAUGACAGGAGUGAAUAGAGUUGGAAUAGUGCGUUACUCGAGUUUGAGUUCGAUUUUAUUUUAGUUUAUUUGAGUUUGAGUUCAAGCAAGAUUGGAUCUUAACUAAAUGGAGCUCAAUUAACUUAAUUGAGCUCAAUCAAGCUCAAGUGGUACAGCUUGAUGAGUUUUCAAACCUCACGUAUAAGCCUCAAGUUCAAAUUCAUCAAAUUAUUCGACCUCCUUGAACUCGACUCAAGCUUAGUCAACACGAGUACGAACUCGAAGUUUGACAAUACAAUCACAAUUCACAGGAAUAGCUAAAUUAAUCUCCGCUAGUUUGCACUCCUAUUUUAUACAUUUUCAAGGGGAAGAUCAAAAGGUUAAAUAUCACUGUUUCACAAUCUUAAGAUUUUGCUCCUAUAUUGCUUGUAUGCAUUAAAAAUCGAUUCAAAGUUUAAAGUGAUUAUUUUAGUAACAAUUGAGGGUUAAUUCUAAUAAACCCCUCUUGGACUUGCUUUUUUUUCACCUUGUCCCACUGAAGGUUCAAUUGAACCAAUGCACCCCUUAUUCUAUCACAAUAUUUCCUAUCAAAUGCAAUUGGGUUGAAUAACCCAUUUUGUGUUUGAUUGAGUGUUUAUGUGAAUUGAGUCACAUGAUUAUGUGAAUUGACCGAAUUAUUCUGAAAAAAGUCUUUACCAUUUUGUAUGCCAAAAAUAUUCUUUGGUUGAAUAGAAGCAUGCAUAAGAACUAGAUGAUGUGGAGUUAUCAUCUUCCUUAUGUGAACUUCUUAAAUUUUUAAUUGACAAAUUUAAAGAUCCUGAAAAACUUAGAAAUCCAACUGCCUAUUACCAAGAGUAACCAAAAUCAAAGCCAGCUAUUAUCUACCAUUAAUUGGCAUUUGGCUAGUCUUGGUUAAGGGCAAUUGGAUUUCUAGAAUUUUUAGUCACUUAAUAAAAAAGAUGAGAUAGGGGGAGUGUGAAUAAGAAAAUAGGAAAUGCCAUUUAACAUUUCCCCUUCUAUUCUAUAACUUUUAUACAAGCUAAAUUAUGAAAUAAUAUUUUUUUUGAAACUUAUAUGUGUACCUCAAUGUGUUUUAAAUUCAUCCCAUUUGGUGGCUAUGCUUCAAAUUUGUGGACAAAAGAGACAUAAUAUCUGUUAGGGGAAAACAUCUCAAGAGAGUCCACCAAAGAACCCAAUAUGUAAGUCAGGAAUCCAACUCUGAUUCAAAAGUUUAAACUAUUAUGUCUUCGGCCUUUAUUUACAUAUUAACCGCUUUUUUUCCAUCUCUCGGGCCAAUGUGGGACACAAUUUUUUACUCAUGAAUAUAACAAAUCUCUCCCUUCAUGAGUAACCCCCACAUUAAACCCAAAUUUACAAACCUUUUCGAGCUCACUUUAAUACUCAAUGCAAGUUCACAUUUAUCACCAAGGUCACAUUUUCUCUCAAACAUGGAUCCAUUCUUUUUCAAUAUCCAAACUGUAUUCUGGAUCCCUGCCAAUCCUUGAUUCCUUGGUCUAAUAUCAACCAGACCUUCUGCCAAACCAUGGCGCACCUGGUUCCUUGAUUUCUUGGCACUUUGGUCCACCAUCAAGAAGAGAAUUUUCAUCGGUCCAACUCCGAGAAUAAUGCACUUGCCCAUGAGUAGCCCAAUCUCACAAUCUGAAACUCUGAUACCAAUUUGUUAGGAUCCAAGCGCAGAAUAAACAACUAUUGAGAUAUCAAGUGCACAAUGAUUUAAUGACAACCAAACCACAAGUAUGGAAGAUAAACGACACAUAAUAUUUAACGUGGUUCGACUCUACCAUUGAGCCUACGUCCACGUAGAGAAACUCGUUCUUUAUUAUAAGAGGAAAACUGUAUACAAGAAUACAACUUGAACCCAAACCCAACGCUUGUAUACUAUCUCUCAUCUCCAAUAACCCUCUCCCACCCUUAUGUAUAAGGCUACAUGUUGUCCUUUUAUGUGCCCCUUGUGUGUCUCUUUGUAGUAUACCAACCCACCUAUUUAUAGAGAACAUUAUUUGAUCAAAAUCCAAAUAAUAAUAGGAAACCAAUUUUAAUUCCUAGAUUUGUACAGAAUAAGAAAUAAGCUCUAAUUCUAAACUAAAUAGAAUAUUCCUUAGCUACUACUUCAAGUAACUAUAACCAAUUAGAAAACUAGUUACUUUUACAUAAAAUAAUAAUUCUACCUAAAAGAAAUUAAACCAAUUUUCUAACAAAUUUUCACCUUGGCGAAAAUUUCUUGUAGCAACCAUUUGCCUUCAACUAUCAAAUAAUAUGGUACCGAACUAUACACCCGAAUCAAUACAGUCCUAAUAUCAAAUUGAUUCAAUCAGCAAAUAACUAUGUAUAGUUACCCCGAGUCCAACCUCCAGUUGACUCGUGAGAAGAUGCCUCAAUUCACUAUCUCCCUUUGCAGGAUUUUUUCUCACCAUCACUUGUAAUUCGGAAUCUUCUUUUGUGAGUUUUAACCCUAAUCAUUAAGGCAACCAAGUGAUAUAAUUAUCAUAUUUCUUCCCAUCUUCAGAACUGUCUCGUCACGUGUGGUUUCCAAGACUCCACCUAAAACGAAAAACUCGUAACUCUCAAAGUCUUCUGGCAUAUGAAAAUUAUAUAUUCUUGUUUCUUUGGGACACGUGCCACUAGGACUGUAUUCGAGUCGAGUCGAACUUGAGUAGUGUAGGUAAAAAUAACUAAAUUCGAUGAGCUCGAACUCGACAUCAAUUUAUGUUACUCGAGCUCGAGUUUAAUUAAGUGUAAUCAAUUCAAAUCAAGUUCAAUCGAACUCAAUCAAGUCUAAUCAAGCUCACAUAAUAAAAUUUAAUAUUUUAUAUAUAAUUUAAAUAAAGGAUAUUAUUGACAUUUCACAAUAAUAAAAAUUAAAAUUAUUAAAAAACUCAAUUAGGCUUGUCGAGCUUUCGAGUGCAAAAUAUUAAAACUCGAACUCGACUCGAGACUUCUAUCAAGCAGCUCGACAUAGCUUGCGAGUUCGAGUCAAGCUACUCGGUUCAGCAGUAGCCCUACGUGCCACACCACCCAAAAAAUAUAAUCAAAAUCAUAAAUCCACCGGGAUGAAAUAUCAACCGCUGGAGAUGUGAGAAAAUCUCCAUCUUUUCCUUGACCCUUGAAUCACCGCCUAGAUUCACUGUCAAGUAUCUCCAUACUUUUCAACUUUUCAUCCUUCAUCAUCAAUGCUUUUUACCAAGCCGUUGAAACAAAGAUACCACCCAUUAAAUUGUUCAAUUGGUAAUAACCACCAAUCCACUUGAUUUCAAUAGUUAAUCAAGAUCCAACCACGAAUCUUGCUCUAUUGUCCGUGAGCAGUCCAGUCUCGCAACUAAAUUCUGAUACCACUUGUUAUGAUGAAACACCUCGAGAGAGUCCAUUAAAGAACCCAAUAUGUAAGUUAGGAAUCCAACUCUGAUCCAAAAGCUUAAGUUAUUAGGUCUUGAGCCCUUAUUUAUAUAUUAACCGUUUUUUCUCCAUCUCUCGGACCAAUGUGGGACGCAACCCUUUAUUCACAAAUCUAACAAUAUCCUAUUCUUGUUACAAAAUAAUAAGCAUUUGGUAUAUUGAGAUCUCAGAAAUUAGAGGUUUCAGUUCAAAUUUCUCUUCCCUCUUCCCACUUUUUAAAUUUCACCCCUCUAUUGCUAUUUUUUUUAAGAAAAGAAAAAAAUAUGAUAUAAUACACAUUUUCAAUGAUAGAUCAAAGGGAAAAUCAUAUAAAUAAUCUCUCACAUAUUAGUUUUGUAACUUUUACAUCCCUCACAUAUAAAAUGAUGAUUUUUCGUUCUUGACAUAUUAGUUUUGCAUUUUUUACACCUCUCACAUAUGAAAUGAUGAUUUUUCAUCUAUCACAAAAUGAAAAACACACAUUUUUAGUCCCUUGAGUCAUUUUUACAAAUAUUAUUUUCUGAAAUAAAACACAUACAUCUCAUGCCUUACCAACUUUAAGAGUAAAAUUAGAAUCACAGGAAUACAAAAAAGGAAAAAGUCCCUCACAUUGCUUUCUUCUUUGUCUAACCAAGAAUGUGGCACCAGACAUGGCUUCUCUGUCCCCAUGCCUACGGUGUUGCCAUUAGUCGUCACCAUUUUUGGUCACAAAUUUUUACUAAAAUUCAACUCUCAACUCAGUUUCAUGUGUAAAAUCUCAUUUUGAUAUUACCUUUGUAAAAAACGAACGAAUGUGGGUGAAAAAUAGAAAUAAACACUAGUAGGUAGAAUCUGAUUUCGAUAGGUUUUUUUUUUAAAUCAUUUAGUUAAUAAAAAACACUGACAUGUUUUUUGGAUAUUAGCCGUGUUAGAUUCUAUUUGCCACUAAUUUUUUAAAAAAUUUUUUAUCCAUUUUUUGGAAGAAACUAAUAUCAAAAUUAGAAUCUAUGCAAAAAAAAAAAAGAUCGAGAGAAGAAUUGAAUUUUGGUCCAAAUUUGCGACAGAAAGUGGCUGUAGUUGAUAGCGACCCUCCUAGUGUGGCUGCUGAAGGCAACCAUGGCUGGUGUCACAUUCUUGGCUACGAAAAUAAGACAAAGAAGAAAGAAAUAUGAGCAACUUUUUUUUCCCUUUUCUUUUCUUGCGAUUUUCAAUUCUAUCCUUUAAGUUUAUAAGAUAUGAGACCCACGUGAAUUAUUUCCAACAAGAAUAUUAGUAGAAAUGAACUAAGGGAUCAAAAAUGUGCGUUUUUCACUUGUGAGUGACAAAAAAUCAUUAAUAUUUCAUAUGCGAAACGGGUAAAAGUUAUAAAUUAAUAGUUAAAGGAUGAAAAAUCAUUAUUUUACGUGUGAUGUACAUGAAAGCUAUAAAGCUAAUAGGUGAGCCACUAUUUGUGUGCUUUUUCCUAUGUGAAAAGCUACAAAGCUAAAUAUCAGUCGUUUGCACGCUUAAGAUCCUGCUCCUAGGUGCCUUUUGAGCUUGAUUAAGUAAUUUACAUGCUUUUCUCUUUUAUGCUUUUGGCUUUUUCUCCCAUGAGCUGCAGCGGCGUCCAACAGGGGAAAUAGGACAAACAGGAAGAAAUGGACAAUAGGGCAGGUGAGGUUUCAAAGGGUCUGAUCGGGGAAUAUUCAUAUGGGAUUCUCGGACCGUCGUGGAUGUGAGAUGGCUGAUGACUCCCUUAAUGAGGCCAACAAACACGAGUGGCUUUUCAAAAAUCACGAGGCCAAAUCUACUUAAAAUCAAAGCUAGCCACCAAGACCAACGGCCAGGAAUCUUUCCAAGUAAAGAAAUACAAAGUGAAAAAUGCUUAUUCUAGUUUGCACCCCCUUAAUCUUUCGUCAUUACUAUCUUGGCCCAAUUGAUAGCGAUGUUAAUAAAGUCAACAAAAGUUUACAAUUUUGAUUGUCUCAAAGUUAAAGAAAUAAGAGUGAAAAGGGCUUAUUCUAGUAUGCAUUCCCUAAAAUCUUUUUCAUUUCGAUAUCGGCCAAAUUGUUAGCAACGACGUUAACAACAAGAAGGAAAGGUCCAUAAAUUCUACCAUUAGAAUAUUUGGUACGCAUACACAUUUUUUUCAAUUUUAGCAGGGGUAAUGAGCAUUUGCGUGGAUUCGAGUUAGGUUUCUUUGUCUUUCCUCUAUAACAUCUUUAAUGUAUCAUGAUAUCUAUUGAUUUGAAAUUGGUCAUACUGUAAACCACACGAAAAAUCAUGUCAAAUUUCCACAACUAGAAUGCUAAUUGCAAGUGAGAGUUUGUAAUAGAGAAUUUUAUGACAUGGUUGUGUACAAAUAAGAAAGUUGAAAAAAACAAUUGCAAACCAGUAAAUAAUAGUAACUAACGUUAGAUAAAGUCCUAUAAAUACGUCAACAAAGACAAAUCACGUGAUUUUAUACUAGCCAAAUUAAUGUGUCAAGUGAAAACUACUCUUUAUUAUGUGAUGUUUGCUCCAUCAUUUUGCAUUUUUCUCGUGCUAAUUGGCAUGUUUAUUAACUCUAGGAGCUUUUGUUGAUUCUGAAAUAUAAGUUUGGACCAGCAUACCCAAAAACGAUCGAAACUUCAAGGGUGCAAAGUGAAAUAUCAAGUCUGUAUAAUUAUGUCAAACCCAAUCAAGGCCGUUAAAAUUAGUCAUCCGGGAAAACAACAGCCAAGAUCAUUCCUAAACUAAAGAAGAUUAAAGUAACAAUCACCUUAAAAGCGUGAACAUGUAUCUACUCACACCGACCCCAUAAAACAAGACGCAAUAGCAGUCUGGACUCUGUCGUAGAUUUUCUCGAGGCCCAGCGGCGGAGAAAUUUAGAGACACCAAAAUCCCCGAAACACACACUUGACUGUGUUUGUGCGUGAAAAAGUCCCUUUUUAAAUCCUCACCACUUAUAUCACCUCAAAUAUAGGCUUCUUGUAGCAGUGGCAGUUUCCGCGGAAGGAGGUACUAAGUAGUUGCUUGAAGAAAGAACCAUUUCUUCUCCUGCCUGUUUUUCUCUUUCUUUAAUUUUCUUUUUUUUUUUAUCCCAGCUGUUUAUUCAUUUCCUAUCUUUAAUUGCAUUUUAGCAAUUGCCCUUUAUUAUAUUCUAGGUAAUUUUGGUACUGGUUUCUGUUUUUGGGAAAAAGAUUGAAUUUUGAUACAUGCGGUUUCAUGUUUUGCCUUGGUAUAGGUAGAUCUGAGGCCAUGUGUGAAUUUCUGGAUUGAUAUUCUGUGAAUUUUUGUGGGUUUUGAUUAUUAGUUAUAAUUUAUGCACUGCAGUUACGAGUUUUGUAGUUGUAGAUGGUCCAGUUGCAGGUGGUAGAUCUGAUUCUGUAAUAGCUGAUUGAACUGUGCUGUUAUCUUCUUUUGGUUACUUGUUCAGUUGGAACUUUUGUUGGAAGGGAAUUGUAAUAGUGUCAUAUUUGAAGAAGAAUGAUGAUGCCGUAAAAUCCUGUUUCAUUUUUGUAAGUUGUUGCUUGAAAGAUAAGAUAGUGCCAAUAAAUUUUUGUAUAUGUUUGUAAUUUCCCUGCUCCAGAGUUGCACGGCUAAUUGGUAAAUCUUUUAUUACUUCAUUUGGUUCGAAAUUAGCAGGACUAUGAAGAAACUGAAAGGUAGAAAGUCAUAGUUUUGUACAAUUAGGUGACUUAGAAAAGACAGUGCUUGUAGGCUUAUCUCUGUUCUCCUUUUAGGAUUGUGCUUGAUUAGUUCUUUGAUUCCUUUAGCUUUGUGGUCAAUCUAAUUAGUUUUGUAGUUUUGGGAAGUUGAGGUUUGUCUCCGAAGGAAAAUAGUGAAAAAUAUUGUUACGAAUUUUGUGUAAAUUUUAACUCCUAUUGUCAAAUGAUUGAUUGAGUUCCUUUAUGCUAUUGAGGCUAUAGAUAUUGACGGACUGAUUAGUAUCCAAGCUAUCCGAUUUACCUUUAAUUGACAGCAAGAAUUUGUUGAAGCUACAGAUUUUUUUGGUCGGUGCAUCUCAUGGUGCAUCUUUUGCCCGCAAAGAACUAGUUUCUGAAUCUUUCUUUAGCAACUAGGUGAUGUGUUGUUCUUCUAAUGAGAUGUUUGAUUGUCUGUUACUCAUAUUUUUGGCAUCAGACAUGGCCUCUGUAUUAUUUUUUUCAGUGAUGCUUUAAGAUUGGGAUGUCACUUUAAUUAAAUUCAGUUUUUUCUGGCAAAGAAGAUUAUUCUGUUGGCCAAGCUGUUUAUAUUUCUCUAAUUUGAUUUUUUCCAUUUCCAAUGUUGGACUGAGAUUCUGCUGAGUAGCACUUGGAAUGGGAGUUAGUUCUCUGAGUUAGUCUUUUGCUUUAGAUGAUGAAUGAAUACUGACUAAUUUUGUUUUGAUACUCUCGGUGCAAAAGUUAAAAGAUUAAAGUAGUGCCUUUGCAUAUGUUAGACUUUGUGCUGAUUAUGUAAACUUUCUAUUCUUCUCAUUAUUGAGCAAAAAGAAUUCGAGCUUGAUCAAGUUGUACAGUCAUAUGCUUUGCAAACCUACUUCCCUAUUCUUUUCAUGUUUUCAUGUCCCCUUUUUUCUUUUCCAGUGCAUGAAAUGGCAGCAACAUCAGCAGCUACCCUCUCAAUUGGAUCAACUGCCUGUGUUGGCGCAAAAGCCAACUCGGCUUAUAAUUCAAAGACGUCUGGUCUAAGUUUCAAUUCUCGAAACUGUCUUAGGAGUUUUACUGGCCUCAAGGCAGCCUCUUCUGUGAGCUGUGACUCAGACUCCUCAUUUGUAGGAAAGGAAAGUUGUGCAGCAAUUCAACACUCUUUUGUCUCAAGAGCACAAAAGCCGAGCCAAAGAUCAUAUAAUUAUGUUCAACCUCGGGCUUCUUAUAAAGUGGCAAUUCUUGGGGCUGCUGGUGGUAUAGGCCAGCCUUUAGCACUUCUGAUUAAAAUGUCACCUUUGGUCUCCACUUUGAAACUUUAUGAUGUUGCAAAUGUUAAGGGAGUUGCUGCUGAUCUCAGUCACUGCAACACUCCCUCCCAGGUUUUUGAUUUCACAGGAGACAAGGAGCUUGCCAGUUGCUUGAAAGAUGUAAAUGUUGUUGUCAUCCCUGCUGGUGUUCCAAGAAAGCCUGGUAUGACCCGGGAUGACCUUUUUAACAUAAAUGCCAGCAUAGUGAAGGACUUAAUUGAGGCUGUUGCUGAUAAUUGCCCUGAUGCCUUUAUCCACAUUAUCAGCAAUCCAGUCAACUCCACAGUGCCGAUUGCUGCUGAAGUUUUGAAGCAGAAAGGUGUAUACGACCCAAAGAAGCUCUUUGGUGUCACCACUCUUGAUGUCGUGAGGGCAAAUACAUUUGUGGCUCAGAAGAAAAACUUGAGGCUUAUAGAUGUUGAUGUUCCAGUUGUUGGUGGCCAUGCAGGCAUUACUAUUUUGCCCCUGCUGUCAAAGACAAAACCCUCUGUCGCAUUCACAGAUGAAGAAGUGCAAGAACUUACUGUCAAAAUUCAGAAUGCUGGGACAGAGGUCGUUGAGGCAAAGGCUGGUGCAGGGUCUGCCACACUUUCCAUGUCAUAUGCUGCAGCAAGAUUUGUUGAGUCCUCCCUUCGUGCUCUUGAUGGUGAUAGUGAUGUGUACGAGUGCUCUUAUGUCCAGUCUAAUUUGACUGAGCUUCCAUUUUUCGCAUCAAGGAUUAAGCUGGGAAGGAAUGGGGUUGAGGCUCUGAUCAAAUCUGAACUUGAAGGUUUGACCGAGUACGAACAGAAGGCUUUGGAGGCCCUCAAGCCAGAGCUCAAGGCCAGCAUUGAGAAGGGGAUAAAUUUUGUGCACAAGCAACCGGUGGCUGCAUAGAAGCUUACUAAAGUCGAAGCAUUUAGAAGAUGAAUAAAAUAGUUCGAAAUUUACAGAUUUAUUGAUUGCGGCGGCAUUUUCAGUUUUGUCGGUGACCUGCAGCAAAGGGCUUCCUGCUUCUUUUCUGUUGAAGUGCUUUUGUACCAGAGAAAUGAGUAUACUAAUGUUGUAGAAUUUUGUUCUCAUAUCCGGCCCGUAGGGAACGUUUUGACGUUAGUGGGGCUAAAGAUUUGCAGCCCUUAUUUUGCAAAAUUGGUUAUCACUUUUUGCUUGUCUUUGGAUGCCAUGAUCUGGAUUUUGAUGGAUUAGGCUGCAUAUUUGUUCUACAUGAUGCAAAUUUUACCAUCAAAAUGACUCGCGAAGCCACCUUCCCUAAUAACCUUACAUCAAUCUGGGGGAGAACCAAAUUGUCCAUUGCUUGCAACUUAGGUAGAAGUUCCAUUUACUAUGCCCACCUAUGAAAUAUUGCAAGGAGUACAAUCAAGUGUGACUCUUAACUGCUAAUGCUGAUGCCUCUUCAUUAUCCGUUUACACAGUUUCAAAAGUUGGAGAAGAUUUGGUUAAAUAGGAAUCACUAGGACAUUACUAAAACUACAUGCAGGCAUCAUGUCCAUAGCAUAAUACAUCCUAGAUGAUACAGGUUCUCCAACAUGCGUAUUUGCAAAUAACAUAUUAACGGCAGGUAUUGAAAAAAAGGAAUUAACAGAAUUUCUAUGCCAGACAUACUAACAGAACGGAAGCCAACACAAUGGCUUGGAAAUUGAACAACGGUAAAAAAUAGCCACCACCAAUUUUAUUUCCUCUGUCUGUGUAAACAAUCACUGGCCUAGAUUAAAUGUUCAGAAGCUUUGAACAGAAACCUGGCAUAAUGAUCUUCGCAUUGUUGUAAGUCUUGAUCAAGCACGCAUGUUGCAAUCAUGUUUUAAACCAUGAAUCCCCCGCUUGGACAGAAUCCAAUUAACAAUGGUGUUGUUGUCCUGCGCACCUGCCCUUUUGCAUCUGACUGCUCUCUCUUGAAGGGGAACAUUCCUAGCAGCCCUGGUAGGUAAUACUCCAUUUCGUUUGACAGCCGAGCCUACAUAAUACAAGUGGAAACAAGGAGCGCCUUGUACAUUUCAUUUAACAAUACCUAGCUGAUGCAUACAAGCUAUAUGUUCAACGGAAGUCAGGCCAGAUGCAGCUAUGUGCAGGACUCUGCUUGGGGCAUGUAGAAAUUAUAAACAUUCUAUUCUUGGAGAGAGAGUAGUUGAGCAUUUGAUUCAACUGAAAGCUGAAGAAGCAGGCGAUCAUUAUCACCGCUACCAGUAAUCAUUACAGGAGCAAUGCCCUUCCCUGAAAUGAUGAAACCGAUUACGAUCUCUAAUAACUACUUCUCGAUUAUAAACAGUUGAUACCAUUUUAGCAAAAUUGUGGCAGUCAAGACAUAUUCUUAGGUCCUUUGCAAUGCGUAUCUUUGUACCAGGUGGAGUGGCAAGAAUUGCAAAUGCAAUUGCCAGUUUCUCACUGUGAUAAGACACUCUGGUUUGCUUUUCUUCAGCACCAGUAUUAUGCAAUUCUGCUAUAGUUUCAGCAACAUAACCAGCAAUUUUCAGUUGCUUAUUAAUCUCGUCCAACAUAUCAUAUAUCUCCUUCUUUCUUGGAUGUGAAACAUCAUCGGCCAUAAACUCAUGUAUUUUGCCUUUCAGUUCAAUGGUACAAGAAGCUGGGGUUGUCCGGAUUCCUUUCUCCUUCAUCAAUUUCCGUAUUUCGGUAACCUUCUCCCAAUCAUUGAUUGACGAAUAAAUAUUUAACAACAGAAUGUAAUCCCCUGCUUCUUCAGCUUUGAGUUCAAUCAAAUGCUCAACUACUCUCUCUCCAAGAAUAGAAUGUUUAUAAUUUCUACAUGCCCCAAGCAGAGUCCUCCAAAUUGCUGCAUCUGGCCUGACCUCCAUUGAGCAUAUAAGCUUGUAAGCCUCAUCAAGCAAACCAGCACGACCCAUCAUAUCAACCAUGCACCCAUAGUGGUAAAGAUUAGGCACAAUACCCAGCUGUUUCCUCAUGAUAUCAAAGAACAUGCGACCCUGAUCAACCAACCCUGAGUGACUACAGCCUGAAAGAACUGCAGUACAAGUGUGAUCAUCAGGAACAACACCGACCGUCUGCAUCUUUCUGAAUGCCCUAAUUGCCUGUUCACCGUGUCCAUUACUUGCCAAGCCUGCAAUCAUGGCACUCCAUGUCACCACAUCCUUGUUAGCCAAGCUCUCAAAGACCUCAUACGCCUUCUCAACACACCCACACCUUGAGUACAUUGCUAUAAGUGAAUUAGAAAUCUUCAUAGAGCUAUCAAAUCCACCCUCCUUUACAUACUUAUGAACCUUCUCACCAAAUUCUAAUGCAUUCAACUUCCCACAAGCCUCGAGCACAAGCAAACAAGUGACGUCAUCCGGUCGACGCCAAUUUGACUUUUCCAUGAUAUCAAACACGCUUAAAGCAUCCCUUGUCCGCUUAUUACGUAUAUAGCAAGAAAUCAACACAUUCCAAGCAGCAGUGUCCCUAUGAGACAUCUCAUCGAACACUUUACAAGCAUCAUCGCAUUUCCCACUUAAAGAAUAAAAAUCCAUCAAAGUAGUGGACAAAAAGCUAUCACAUUUAUAACCAUCUCUCAAAAUCCUACUAUGUACCUGUACACCAUUCAAUGAAGAUUCCAUCUUUACACAACAUUUGAUUGCAAACGACGAACAAAAGCCGUCUGAAGAAAAGCCCAAAUCAAGCAUUUCUUUGUAUAGCUCAAAUCCUAGUGAUGCUGCUGAAUUAUUAUGGCUUAAAGAAUGAGCUCUGAUCAUGGUACCGUACAAAGAAACAUUGGGUUUCGGAUAAUGUUGGAAGAUUCGACGGCCAUAAGACAAAUCCUGCAAUGGACCAGGGAGGGAAAUGCGGGAAAGGAAGUGGAGGAAAAUUGUGGGGUUAAGAAGAUAGGACGUAUGAAUGAGAUGGGUGUGGAUUUGAGGCAGAUGGGAUUUCUUAGGGCAGGAUUUUAUGAGUUUAAUUAAGUCCUUUCCUGCUUCUUUCUCGGCAGCUUUUGGUCCGAGGUUUAGAAGAGGUGAUGGUGGGGAAGGGCGGUGGUAGUGGUGGUUUUGGAGUGAAGCUGCUUCUGCUGUACUGAAGAAACGAGCGGGGAGACGAGAAUGGUGUGCGGGAAAGCGAGAUGCGAACGCUCUCAUGGGUGUUUGAAGCUCUCUUUUUGGGAGAAAAAUGGUGGCAAACGAUGACACAAGUUCAAGUUCUGUUGGAGAAAUUCAAAACCCUCUGUUUGGACUUUGGACUGUUGGCAUAUGCAAGAGGCUCCCCUCUCUGAAAAUUGCACAUACCUACCACAUUUUCAUUGUUUAAGUAAUAUUCUAGGCCCAUAAGUUUAAACCUUUUCUCAAAAUCUUAUAAUGCCCUUGGGUUACAACUGACAACAAAAAUAACAAGAAAAAAAAUGUUCAUAGUCUUUAUUUUAUUUAUCCUUACUUGCUAUAACUAUUGUCUAACUAUCCACUUCCAAAUCACCACUAAUUAAACACUUACUUUUGCUAUAAUGUCCCUCUUUUACUUAAAAAUUUUCAUUGCAGACCAUCAUAUUAAUUACAAACGCCGCAUCAGAUACCAAAAAAUUAUCUACAAUUAUAGACACCAAAUUUUUGUCAAAUUUUGUGUUUUUUUGAAUAUUUUCUAUUUGAUGAGCAAUUUAUUUUCUUGCAUUUUUAAGUAUGUUUUUGUCUCAUUUUUGCAGAUUAAAAAAAAAAAAGAGAGAGAGAGAGAAGCCAUGAUUUGAAAAAAAAAAGAAAAAGAAAAAAAAAACAAACACAACUAAACCCAUUUGACAAAAUCCCUUGGUUCUCUCCUGAUUCUCGGGGGACUGACAAAAAAAGAGGGAACGGCGCUUUGGGGCUCAAAAUAUGUACUCUUUCGGCUCUGCCAACACUCAACAUUUUGCAGAGGAGAAAACAGACAAAAAAAGCUACUUUGGCUACAAAAAUUUCCUCACUCGGCUCUCUCUGAAAAAUCGGACAGGCCAACUCACACAAAAACACUCCACUCUUCCUCCCCCAAAAAGACAUCCCUCGGCUCUCUCUAGUUUCAGGAGACCAAAAAGACAAGCCACAAAAAGAAAAAAAAGCACUCCAAUCCCUCUGGACUCACUUGGCAGAGGCAGAAAAAAAGAAACGCACGAGAGAGGAGGAAGGGAAGCUCUCGGAAUUUUGCAGCCUGACCCCUCACUCUCCCUCUCUCGGACUUGGGCGGAGGAAACAAACAGAACAGAAAAAAAAAUCUUCCCCAACUCCUCUCGGUUCCAUCUCAACCUCACACACACCUACAUUGAGGUAUUUUUUUUAGUUUUUGUCUAGCACAUUAAAUCAAUGCUUCAUUGUUUAGUUUUCUCUCAUUUCUGCUGGCUGCCUCGUAUUGUUGUUGUUGCAUUGCUGAAAAUUGGGAAAUGGCAUGAACAAGAUGAAGGAAAAGGAAAUGAUGUCUGUGAAUGCAUAUUAAUUGUUUGAAAAAAUGCCAAAAAAGAUUUUUAGGGACUGUUUUGCCUUAAUGUAGUCUUUUGUUAUUGUUUUCUGGUUAGUUAAAAUCAUAGUUGUAUUAUAGAGGUUAUAAGGAGUAUUGUAAUAUAUUUUUUAUGAUUUUUGGUGAAAGAUUUGGGUGUUUUAAAAAAUAAAAACUGGACUGUAUUUUGACUUUUUGGCCACUUUCAGAUCAUCUUUUGUAAAAACUAACUCCGGAAAUGGAACCUACGCCAAAAAUCAAGUGAGGGGGUGUAUUUUGAGGAUUUUUGGUAAUCGGAGAGGUCACCGGCGGUAGCGGUCGGCGGCGGCGGCGGCGGCGCCACCGGCGACCACCAUGGCCGCCAGCUGAAGCUUCAGCUCGCCUGGGAAGAAGAAGAGACGGAACGAACGGGGAAGAAAGAAAAGAAAGAAGAAGAAGAAAAAAAAAAAAGAAAGAAAAGAAAAGAAAGAAAACGGUUUGGGCUAAUGUUUUUUCUUCGGUUGGGCCAGGAGUUAGUUUUGGUUGGGUUUUGGAAAUGGGCUUUGGUUUAUUUUUUCUUUUGGGUUUCGGAUGGGCUAGGAGGCUGGAGCCCAUGCAUUUCUGGGUCGGGUUUGAGUGAUAAAAUGACGGGCUGGCCUGCUCGUUUCUAUGGAUUUUCGGUUGGGCUUAGGUAGUUUUCGGCCCAAAGAAAUAAAUAAUGGCCCAAUGGCCUUUUUCUCCCCAAUCAGAAAUCAAAUUUUGCACUUUAGCCCCUGAUCUCUGGAGUAGUUCACUUCGGCCCAGAAUAUUUUAAAUUCCUUUCACUUAGGUACUUAAUUUAAUUGCACUUUGGUCCUUGAAUUUUAUCUUUCAUUUAAUUUUGACCCUUAAACUUUGGAAAAAUAUAACUUCUGUCCCUAAAAGUUUUCAAUCUUUGCAAUUCAGUCCCUGAUGAAUUUUGACUCUCUUUAUUAUGAUUGUUUCUUUUCUUUAAUAACUAAUUAUGUUAUUUUUGAACAUAUUCAACUUGCAAUUUUUAGAUGUUCUUAAAUUUCUUUGCGUUUGACAUGUUAAUGUGAAUUUAGUAUUUUAACAUUAUUAUUAUUUUCAAUUAAAGUGGUGCCAUGAUUCUUUUGUUCAUUGUGAGUAUAAAUAGGACAAUUUGACUCCAUUUAGUCACCACUUCAAACGGGAGGUACCCCUAUUUUAUUAUUUCAAUGUCAAUUACGUGCUCUUAUGUGCUCCUAUUUGUUCCUAUGUAUUUAUAUAUUUUUAUAUGCUUUAUUUACUUGAUUUAAAUAUUCAUUCAAAUUUUCUUAUAUAUGUUUUAGUUAAUUUUUAUAAUGAUUCAAGAGGCAUUUAAAUACCUCAAAAAUGUAAUAGAUAGGAUAAUUAGAUUUGUUUUAUUAUAUUUUUCCCUUCUAGAUUGUAGUUAGGCGCCCCCGAUGUAAUAGAUAGGUUGCGUGUUUAUGUGGCUUAUGUGUUAUGUGUUUUGUCCGCUUUUCUUAGGAUUUUGGCAUCUAGAUAUUAUGUUUACGUGUUAUGUGCUACGUGCUCUUAUGUGUUUAUUUGUUUUAAUUUAUGUUUUAUUUGUUUCACUAUGAAUUGUUAAUGCAUGACGUCACCACACUAGUCCAACGCUAGUUGUGGUUUCUCCCUCCGCUUACUUGCUAGUCCAACGCUAGCAAGGAUUUUUAGAAAUGGGCUAGUCCAACGCUAGACCCUUUAGGUCAUCUUGCGCUAGAUUCAUCAUUGUAUGCUAUUCACCACAUUUUCAUGCAUAUUUUCAUUUUUAGGAUCUUUUCUCAUUUGCAUGAUAUUCCCUAUUUUAUUAUCCCCUACCCGCUAUAGGUGCUAAUCAUGUCAUUUAGAAUUGCAUCCCAUUUAAGCUAGUUCAUUUGCUUGUUCAUGUUAGGAUAAUUAUUUUUCAAACAUGGGAAAUGGGUGAUUAUAACUUUCUAGUUUAAAUACCCUAUUAAUCCAUGUAUAAGAAAAUUAUGUCACGAAUUUUUUUGCCUCCCGUACCCUUUAUGUUGCAUUCCCUUUUUCUUUGAUCACUUAUAUAUAUGUAUAUAAUUUAAUUUCUUUUCUUUUAUUUUCUUUUCUUUUUCAUCAUUUGCAUCCUUGUGACACCUUCGAGGAUUUAUUUUGACCUUCGCAAUUAAUGCGAUUGGUUCAAUUAAAUCCUUGAAUGAACAUGUUGUCCCUUGCGAUAUUUUUUAGAUUUGCAUUCAUAUAGAAAAACAUCCAAAUGUGAUAAAUUAAGGGUUAGAUUAGGAAAAUUUUGACUAAACCUCGCAACUAGCUUAGACUAGGUUGAAAGGGUGCCUUAGAUUUGAGUUAAUCGAAUCUUUGCCUUCCCUUUCUUCAACCGUGACUCCCGAAUCCAUUUUCUCUUGUUUUCAAAGACCUGGAGUUGUCAAAAAGGGUUUUAUUUUGUUUUACUUUAUUUUUUGGGUGACUUGGUACACCAAAACUCCAUACCAAGUGGCGACUCCUGUUUUUUCUUAAAAACCCUUUUAGACUAAAUUUUGGACCCAAAUUGUCGCAUUCUUUUUAAGUCCCAUUCUAGGUCCCUUUUAACUUGUUUAAAAAUAAAAUCAUAUCUUUUAUAAACCUCACACUUUAUUUUUCUUUUCCAUCGCGAAAAAUGGGGCGCGACAACAAUCUUAUAUCCAUAUCAAAUUUUAUUAAUAGACAGCAAUAUUCAUCAAUAUGCUUAAAUUUCAAUUCCAUGACUGUCAUCUUUCUAAUACAAAACAAUCUAAACUAUCACUACUAAUAUCAAUAUCUAAUAUACUCCAUUUGCACAGAAUUCAAAAUCAAUCAAAUCCUCUCUUAGGAAUAACAUUACUAACAAUUGCAAAUAAAAAAUAGAACUACAAUGCAGUUAUAAAUAUACUAGGAGCAUUUUUUUUUCAUAACAACCAUAAUAGCAUAAUCUUUAUUUACCCCCUAUUCCACAUCCACUAUCUUCAUCUUCAUUUAAUUUGAUAAUGAAAUCAUCACUCAACUUGUCAUUUGACAAUUCCAAUUUGCUAAUGCCUAUCAAAAAUGGGAAACAAAAAUGGGUGUAAAGAAACUAUUUAAUAAUAAUGAAAAAGAGAGAAUUGGGAAUAGACACCAAGAUAAGUAAGCAUUUGUGGUUGAUAUGUAUGGUGGUUUUAUUAGUGACAACAACAUACAUUUGAUUGAUAAAAAUUAAAUAAAUGAGUGUGGAAGAAAACAGAUGUAGGAAGAAGAGGAUAAAGAGCUAAACGGGAAAGACAAUAGUUUGAGUUAUUGGUAGAUAGUAGAUGAGAGAUCUUUAAUUUUUUAUUGAGUUUUUCGAUGAGUUGACAAUUAAUGAAGGGUAUUGUUAUCUUUUUAUCACACCAAGGGAGAUUCUCAUAAUUAUGUAAAAAUCAAGGGAGCUGAGUGAAAUUAUCAAAAAUUUUAGGGGAGGUUUCUGAAAUUAUCUCUUUUUAAUUGGUUGAAAAAAGUUAAAGUGUGUUUGCAACAUGCUUACAGAGAUUUGUACAGGGCAAGCCUCCAAAACUGUAGCUUGCUUACAGAGGUUUGUACAGAUCGUCCACCAACACAGGCACAGCCUUCUAAUUGACAGUGAGAUUUGAAUACAUGAUCUUUUGUGAGAAAGUAACCCAUUUUUGCCAACUGAACCAACUUAUUGCAUUGGCACUAUUAUAUGACCACUUGCCACUUUCUACCUUUUCCCUUUCCUUUUUUCAAGUUUUGUUUAGGUUGAUUUUCAUCUUGGUCCUCUAAAGAAGUUUAAAAUCUCAAUUUGGUCUUUCGAAUUAUAAAAAGGGUCUAAAUUUCAUCUUACAAAAUAGCAGACCUAAAUUUGGUUCAUUAAAUUGAAAAACCUUCUAGUUUGAUCCUAUUUAACAUUAAUAGUUGAGUACCAGUAAACAAAGAUCAAAUAGAAAGUUAAUCUAACUUUAGGGGAUGAAAAUUGAAAUUCUAUUUUUUAAUGGAUCAAAUGGAAUUUUGUGUUAAGACUCUUUUUGGUUUGAGGGACAUUUUGAAAUACCAAAAUGAAAAGAGUUAUGUCUAAAAGGUGCAAAAUAGUCACUUGUUGAUGGAUCUAAAUUAUUUCAAAUUUAUCACCUAAACACAUAUAUUUUUGCUCGUUGUACUUUAACAUUUAAACAAGUACUUUAUCUAACUUCAAUUUUCUUUUCCCAAAAAAGUAUCAAUUGAAACCUAUCUUAUAUAUAUAUAGAAAUCACAAUUUCAUUCACUUAUCUUGAAAAGUGCUCAUUGGGCACCUUUAAUUUUAAAAUGAUAUAUACGCUUUUUGCACAAAACAAGUAUGAUUUAUGAAUUGAUACAGGACACUACCAAAGAGAAAAUCUGAUGUGUACUUAAUAAACAUUUUUUUACAAAGUUUCUUUUUUUUUUUUACAAAAGUGAAAUUGAUUUGAACAUGUAUUUAAAUGUAAGAAAUGAAACAACUUGGUAGCCAACCCUAACAAUAAUAUAUAUCAACCGUAGAGAAAAGUCUUUUCAGUUUUCAUAGAUUGAGGGAUGUUGAAUCAAAGCAUCGAAUCUAGGUUGGAAUUUUGAAUAGAGGUGUAAACGAUUUUAAAGAAGUCGAAUACUCAUAUGUUCAAAUUUGUUUGAUUAUUUUGAUGAGUUUGAAUUUUUAUUCAAAAUUAUCUUAUUUAUUUCUCAAGCAGUGGUCGAACAAGAUUUUAUCGAGUUGAAUUUGAAUAACUUGAGUUUUUUUUUACAUGUAAAUUUUACUUUUACGCUAUUUGAGUUGGAGUUAAACUGAACUUAAAAAUUUAUUAAACACAAAAUGUUACUCAAACUUCUUCUUUCGAGAAACGAAAUUUGACUAAUUAAACCUAAUUCCAGAAAUCAACUCAAAAGUCGGCAACUCUUGAAUUGCUUCCAGAGAUUUAACUACCCAAAUCCCAACCCCCAAAGCGACGUGGGAUAGAAACCCCGACGGCACAAAAUGUUACUCAAACUUGAUUUGAGUAGAUAGCAAACCAAAUCGAAACAUUGAGCUGUUUGAUUUGUCUUUUGACUUUAAUUUUGGGCUGAGAUUCAGUUAAAAGUACGUGCGCCGUCGAAUCAAUUCUUGGGACUGCGCUACUCUUUGCCCAAAACAGCAAAAAGUACUUUCCAGACGGCCAAGCACGAACCGUCCAAGUCUUCCAAUUGUGGGCAUUAAAUGCUAUGAUCCGCCCAAUCUUUACUCGGACUGAAUCUGAAUCCAGACUGCCGCUACUAGAUUUUGUUUUCGGGUUUACGUGUAUGCAUGUGGACUGUAAAUAGCAGCAAAUUUUGAAGGUUUAGUGCUCAAAAAAUUCGUGUCCCAAUUGCAGGAUAUAUAGGUUGAUUGAAUUUGUUAAUAUUGGGUUUAUGCUACCAAGAAAGUCUAGUAUUCUUUUCGGGAAGGGUAGGCUGUAAAUUGCAAUGUAUUUAAUUAUUAUUGAAUGUCUCAUAAAUAUAUUUUUUAAUCACUUAUUUAUUUUAUGUAUAUAAGCAAAAGGUUUUCAGAUUGUUUGGUACUGCAUUUUCCAUUAAAGGGUUACUACCUAAACAUCGGAAUUCCUCUAUUAGUACAAAAUCCAUCGAAAGGUCAACGACAGUUCUUAAAUUUGAUUACAAAGCCCUCAAACUGCAACCUAGGUCUAGCCAUCUAAGUGUUGCUUGAUCGUUCGUAUUCUCCCCCCUCCAUUUCAUGCAAUACUUAGAAACCCUUUUCAAUAGCCAUUAUGACAUUACAUUAACUUUUUCUAAUGACUUAUUUAUCUCCUCAACGUCACAGCAUCAGCCCAAGAGGAAUUUUAUGCCUUGUUUACUGUUUGAAUUAAAGGGAAAGAAGAGGUCACAAAAUACUAAAUAUGAUCAGGCAAUCAUCUCAGUGUCAACAAUCGUAGACUUAACCAUAUGCACAAGUCCUAAAUGAUGUUAACUAGUUAUUAUUAAACUAAUUAUGUCUAGAACAAACAACAAAAAGGUAAAAGAGAGAGUAUCAUCAACUUCCACAGUUAACAUCACAUAUAUAUAUGUAUACACAUUCUGCUUGGGACAUCAGAUGGUGCUAGGUCAAGAAAAAAAAAAGGGAAAAGAUGACUAAAAGUUUUAUUACCACUUGAGAAAGAUUCAACCAGAAAUCAAUGUGUUGGGGGAGGGAAAGCAGUCAGAGAACAGUAUCUUAAGCUCCUCCUCUUGUUGAUCAUCAUCUACCCUAGAGCCAAAAUCGGGAAUAGCAAGAGCAUUAACUUCAUGAGGGUUAACUCCAGAGUGAGAUGGAGAUUCUUUCACCAUCCCCAUGAGCUUUCUCUUCUUGUAAUUAGCCUUGAAGCAUGCUUGUCUCAAUCUCUUGGUGUUAUCUUCAAGUUGCAAAUGAGGUAUUUCUUCCAACAUUUUCUUUUCAUGCUCCAAUAUGUCUAUGGCUUCUCUAAACUUCCUUUCCGCUCCCUCGCCUCCCUCCUUUGCCAAUUCCUGCAAAAGACAUCCAUCCUCACAACUAUGCCUCAUACAUAUUGACCCAAAAAAAAAAAGACAAAUAAUGGGAUACUCUUCACAUGCUAAUAUAUUUAUACAAUUUUCUGUACUUUGAUGUCUAAUGCACUCAUAAUUAAGAAAAGAGAUAGUUAAGAAUGCACUAAUGAAUGCAACAACCUACAAAAGACAAUAUUGGUCUGAGGUCUUCUCUCUUUAGGUGACUAAGGUCUUGUAAGGGUGUAAAUUUGAAGAAAUGGUAGUACUACAUUAGCGAAGAUUAUAGUUAAGAAUUCCAAGUCCUAACAACCCUAUACGGACAAUAGAUGCUUCAUUGCCAUCAGUAAAUUGAAAUUCUCUAACAAUAUACAUGUAACAUGCUUGGUCCUUGGAGCGGCUGUAGACCAGAUAUACCAAGAAUUAAUUAACUUGAUUAGGAAUUGAAAGGUGAAAAAACCUGGACAUUCUUGAUUAGGGUUUGAAGGCUCAUCAACUUUCUAUGAGGCCAUCUUCGAAUUCCCAACUCUCUACACCUUUUCUUGAGUAGUGUCAAUCCAACAUUAAGCUCCUUGGCGGCUUGAGUAAUUGGCAUGUAAAAAUAAUUGGAGAUGGUUUUUCGGGAUAAAUUCUUAGAGCUAAUAGUCCCACCCUUCUCCUCUCUGGCCUUUUUCAUUCCCUUCUCUUCCACCACAACUUCUUCCUGACUAGUUAAUUGUUCAUUGCUGCCAGCCAAUAAAAGCUGCUGAUUUUGUAUAUCAAACUCGGGACUCUUUUCAUUCCCAAGUCUAAAGCCACUGCCAUGAAAACCUUGCCAUGAAUCUGCUGCAAGAAAAUAUUUUCAAAAUCCCAUUGUAUAAUUAGUUGUGAUUAGUAAAUCAUGUAGAUAUAAAGAGAUGAAGUUGAGUGUUACAUAAUUAUUCAUCACCUUGGAACACGUAGUGGCUCGGAUCAAUAUCCAAUGAUGCGUACGAAGGAUCAUUCAAACAGCUCCCCAUUAUAGGAAAAGCAUCAAAAUCAGGGUCUCGAAAGGGAAAAUCAAGUUGUGAACCAGAACCAGCACAUCCAGGAUUAUAGGUACUUAGAUUACAACAACAUGCACCACCAAGAAAAUUUCAGUAAAUCAAUUCCUCUAGAAUAACUAGAUUAAAGUGAAAAACUUAAAAGCCAUAACAACAAAAACAUGAUUAAAUUUCACCUGAAUUCAAGAGGAGAUAGUUGAGUUGGAAAGGAGAAUGGAUAAACAUCUUCUUCUUUGGUCAUUACUUGAAAUUUUGACCAGCUCUGAAAUGGCUGAGUUCCCAUGUUUGACAAAAGAAAUCAGAAAUGGUUUUUCUUCUUCUUUUGUGGGUUUUUGGAGUUAACUAAUGAGUCGAUGACUAAGUUACCAAAUUUGCAUGAGUGGUUCAGAUAAAGAGAAAGUGGAGAUAGAGAAACAUAUACGUGUAUAUAAGGGAGAAGAAGAGGAGUCAUGGAUCAAUGAAUUUGAAUGUGAGUCCUUGAAGCAAUAAUAAGAAUUUAGUGCAUGGGAGAUUGUGAGCCGUCACAUACAUUAAACAAGCACAUAUUACUCCCACACCUAUUUGCGUAUUAAUUAGGAAGGUUAAUUUUAGCUUAGAUAUCCUCACAUUUGAGAAAUAACGGUUAAACCACUUUAUUAAUCUUUUGUUUAUUUAAAAAUUUAUUUAAUCAGAUUACUGAAUAGCCUUAGUGGAGCGAAUACACUGAUAUUAUUGUAAUGGAAUAGAAAUUUUAAAAAUAAAUUAAAAUGUUUCUAGCAUUAGAAUUGAACCUAGUCUAGUGAUCAAGUCCUAGAAUGAAGAUCUGACUUACGUGUUUUGUUUUGUAUUUUUCAAUUUGUUCUGUAGCGGUUUGAUCACAUAUAUUGGUAUUCAAGAUUUUGUAAUUUAAGUGAUAGAAAAAAAUAUGAGCUUUUCGAUAUGUCUCUGGUUCAAUGCUAGAAUUGUUUUUGGAGAAAUUCAACUAUUGUAUGGAGACAUAUGAGUAUUAUUUUAGAAGAUGUAGUAUUGAAUGAAUUUAUAUGUGUAAAUUUCAAGCUAAAACACUAUCAACUUGUUAAAUGUGCAUAAGAAUUUAGGUAAGUUACUUUUUUAAAUGAUAAAAUUGGAAAGCAACUACUGGUUUGUGUUGGCUUUAAAAUAGUAAAUCUUGUUGUAGAACAUAAAAAAAGUGAAAGUACAAUAUUAAAAAUAAGAUAGAUUGAUUGUGUUUUUAGGUGGAAAUUACCCUAAAUGCAACUUUUGGAGUUUGGUGGAGAAAAAUAUAGUUCCUUGAAAAUUUCCCUCAUUACAUCUGCAUUCAUAUUGGAUAAGUAUAUCAUGCUUGCUACAUAGUUAUAACUCAUGAGUAGGGGUAAGAAAAAAAAAAUUCAUGAGCAGGGGUAAGAAUUGGUUGGUACUGGUUAUUUGGUGUUGUGAAAUCUGUAAUAUCAGUGUAUUGGGCUCUAAAAUUAACGGAAUCCAUUCGAAUUGAUCAAUACUAAAUUGACCUCUAUAUCAAAUUGAAGUGAUAUGGAACUCAUAACAAAAUCCUAACGAUCAAUUUUAAUUAAAAGGUUAUAUUCUUGAGUAGAAACAAUUAAAUAAAAUGUUAUAAAUUUGUAAAUAAUGUUAUAAAAUGUUAUAUUCUUGUGUAAAUAAUUUUAAAUAAAAUGUUAUAAAAUUUCAACCAAAAAUAAAUAUUUUAUGUCUAUAUAUUUAGGGUUAAUCUCAUAUAAACUGAUAGUGCAUAUGCCAUGGGUAUAGAUACAAGCCAACUAAUCAUAAUUCAUAAUUUGAAUUUAACCUUUAAUUCUUGUAUAUGUGACAUACAUCUAUACUGCUAGUGCAUGCACAAUCAGUAUAUAUAAGAAUAAUUUGUAUGUCUACUUGAUUGGUUGUAGUUUUAUAUGACUAUAAAUUUAUAUGUACCUUUUUAGUGCAUUUAUAUAUUUAAAUACAAAGAGUGGAAGAAUAAAUAUAUUCAAUUAUCCUUGCACUCAUUUUGAAUAAUUAUUAUCUAUAUAAUUAAGUUUUAUUGCAUUUAUAUGAGUUUUUUGCCAAAAUAAUACUCUUUCUAAAACAUAUUCCCAAUGUGAUUCACUUUCAAAUUUUAUUCCCAAAUCGAUGUUAUUGUUGCCACCUAAUUACCCUGAUUGCCAUGUAGGAUAACAAAAAAGGAAAGCUUUAAUCUAGCUUAUAGUUUCCAAUAAAAACCAAAAAUUUAAACUUUUUUUUAUUAUAGAGGCACAAAAAAAUUGCAUAACUUUGAUAAUUUCCUUAUAAUUAUUUAAAAUAAAUUCUACCAUUAUUGAGCUUGCUAUUAUUGCUUUCUGCAACUUUUUUGAAUGUAUCAAACUUAUUGCAUAUAUUUUUCAAAAAUAAAUUUGUAAAAUGCAAAAAAUUGCAAUGAAAUUUGUAAGCAAUAACAAGAAAAAGUUACCAAAACUUCAAGGCUAUCAUAUUUGUUUAUGUUAUGCUUCCUACUCCUUGAAAAGAACUUUUACAAAAAAUAAUCAAACUAUUGUAAUUAAGAUAAUGCUAAAGUUUCUCAAAAGUAAUACAAGCCAUUAAUUGAUGUUGAAUAAAUGUGCAAAAAUACUUCAAGUAUACGAGAUUAUUUGAUCAUGUGGUAGAGAGGCACUACAAAUGAACAUGCUUAUAUAUGUGACGGAAAUCAAACAUAUUAAUCAUGAAUCUAUGUUGUUCCAUAGUUUUCCUCUUAGACAUUUAUCAAACGCACGGUGUGAGAAAUCAUUUGUUAAAACAAUUAGUAUUCAAAAUUUUUUGAAGGGCAUAGGCAUGUUCCAAAAACUUCACAAUAGAAAAGACAAGAGAAUAAUCUUUGUUUACCUUGAGAUUAUCAAUUUGAGGAGAAUAUUUUCAUCCAUAGAUACAAUAUCAGGAAUGAUAGUGAUGUUUUAGAUGUUGUUAAUAUAAAUAUUGGCUUCUCACAAUUACAUUUGACAAGGAAAACACAUUUGGAUAUAUGUUUCAAAAGAAGAGUUAUUUUGGCAAUAAACUCCAUUUAUACAUACAUACAUACAUAUGUAUAAUCUGUAAUUGGGCACAUAUUAAAAAUGCUCACCCCACUUUAAGUGAGGAAGUGGAUCAUAAAUCCUAGAUUAUGCGUUAUGAAAGUAAUGCCAGCAGUAAUCAUAUUGGAACUUGCAAAUGAAUUAGCACUUUAUGAAAGUAAAGCAGCACUGUAUAUCUUGUAUUUAAUAUGGAAUAAUAGCUAAGUUUACAGUAUUAAGACCUUCAUCGGAAGUUAAAAAAUACAUAUUAAAAUUUAUCAAAUGAUCAGAAACUAAAUUCAACGAAACAAAAUUGCAUUCGUCUUUUGCAAAACAUAUAUAUCAACUUUCGUGCUUGACCUCUUGUCAAUCACUUUGACUAGUUGGAUGUUUAGAAAUAUUAUCCUUUUUUCCCUUUUUUUGGGGUUUUAAUUAAUAUUAUCAACUAGUGAUGCUGUCGAGUCAAGUCGAGCUCGAAGGUUAUGAGUACUGCUCGAGCUCGAGCUCGAGAUCGAACAAACCUCAAACUUCAGACUCGAACUCGACUCGAUGUAGUUAAAAAUAACUCGAGCUUGAACUCGUAUAAUAUUUGAACUCGAGAACUCGAGCUAGGCUUGUAAAAUGAGCUCGAAAACCUUUGUUUUCUAGACCAGAAUUCAGCAAAAAUUGAGUGCAAAAACUAUGCUUUCCUUCAAAAAAAUAGCAAUUCAUAUUAAAACAUGCAUUUUGCUUCAUUUCAAUGCAAAUGCUAACCAAGUGAUUCGAGCACUCUAAAAUCAACAGUAUCAAACUAGUUAAUAUGACAGAUAAUGUGACAGUUUCUUAAUAGCCAAAAUAGCCAUGUAAGCAAAAGAAAUAAAGAACUUGAUAUUAAUAGAAUUUAGUCACAAUACACUGAACGUACAGAUUUGAGAUCAAGUUCUCUAUACAACAUUCUAUUAAGAUCCAUUGCCAAGAUUCUAUACAGCAACUCAUGUACAGAUUUUAAUCAAAAGUCAAAACACAACCUAGCAGCAACAUUCACUUGAGUCAAAAAAAAAAUCACUAGAUUCACUACAGCUAUACAGAUUUGAGUCCAAAGUCAAAAAUCAAAACACAACUUGGCAAUCAUAGCUUGUCAACAUUCACUUGAGUAAAAAAUCACCAGAUUCACCACAACUGUAUAGAUUUGAGUCAAAAGUCAAAAAUCAAAACACAAUUUGGCAACCACAGCUUGUCAACAUUCACUUGAGUCAAAAAGUCACUAGAUUCACUACGGCUGUACAGAUUUGAGAGUUGAGACAAGUCAUUUGAGAUGUUAACUGCAUAGAGUUCAGAUUCCAAAAUUUCAAGUUUCUAACACCUAUUGCCAACAAAAAAAAAAAUAUAAGUCCUGUCAAAUAUUACCAAAGACAAAAAAUGAAUCAAAUUAAGGUACAAAGUUAUCGAGAACUCUAAAUAACCACAAUGCCAAACCUGAUUCAAAAUGAGCGCUUUGCAAUAUAGCUUCAAAUCUUGGGCAAUUCAAUUUCUUUGAUUAUUUUAGCUUGCUGCAUUUACAAUAAAAACCACCCAAGGCAAAUAAUUUAGAAAGAAAAGAAGUCAUAACUUGUUGAAAUUGGCCACAAAAGUUGAAUGAUAAAACAAUAAAACUUACUUUUACUUUCUUUGAGAUCCCGUGAAGCUUUCUACACCAGUCCCCUACACAUAACAACACUUGAACCAUAUCUGGAUGAAGGAAAGCACGAUAGCUAACAAUAAGGUUCAAGAUAUGCGCACAGCAUCGAACAUGAAAUAACUUGCUGCCACCUAAUAGCUUCUUCGAUCUACUAAAAUCAUCCCGCAAAACUCUAAUAGCCACAUCAUUGGCCGAAGCAUUGUCAACUGAAAUUGUGUGUAUUUUCUGCUCAAUACCCCUAACCUUCACACACUUGAAGAGUGAAGCAGCAAUCUCAACCCCUCGUCUAGGAGGUGGUAUGUGAACAAAGUUGAGUUCUCUUUUGUAGCUUCCAAUCCGAGUCAAUCCAAUGGCCAGUGAUAACCAUAUAUUCGAUCUUUUGAUUUUUGGAUUUCCAAAGAUCGGUUGUGAGGCUCACCUUUUUCACAUUUCUCAACUUGUUCUUCAGCUUCUUUUUCUCAAGUUCAUAGACUGCCAUACAAUCAUUUUUUGCUACUCCUCUAGUGAUCUUCUGCGACUCGGACAUGCUACGCUUUAGGAAAAUAUUCAAACCUUCUUCUUCAAGAAUGGUGAAGAGAUGUUCGUACAUCACAAUCCAAUGUGCAGCUGCUUCUCUCAUUUUCUUCAUAUCAAAUUUUCCAGUAUGCAAAGGUGGUACAGUAGGAAAUGCAUCAUCAGCCGGCUGAAAGUUCAGUUUCGUUUGUUGUGCAACUUGUCUUAAACUUGCUUUUCUAGAUGGACAUGACUUCCGGUGCCGCCACAUGCUAGAUGUUUGCUUUGAUUUACCCCUUGAUAGCUUUUUAUUGCAGUAAAGGCAAAUGGCAUAGUAAUUGCCAUUUUCUUCAAAUUCGUUGAAGUCCUCUCAAAAUUCAGAAGUUUUAUUUCGUUUCGGAAUAUGGAAUUCAUCAUCUUCAUCUAAUUUAUCCUUUUCUCCUUCUGUAUUGUUAUCGUCAACAACCACAGCUUGUUGUCCUUCUUGUAUAUUACCCAAAGCAGUACUUUGUGUAAUCGGAUUAGUCAUCGUGUUUCCUAGAUUCAUCGUUGACUCAUUGGAGACAUAUAUUAGGUUGUCCAACUCCAAUAUCAAUGGAGUACAUGAAUUAGCAUUGGAAACUAGUGAGAUACAAGAAAUCUCGGGUUGACUGCCCUUGCCUUGGGUUGACAUCAGUCCAUAAACACAUGCAGUCCAAGCUAAAGAAAGAUAACGAAUUUUCAAAUCAGGGCAAGGGAAUUGGUUAUAAAAGAGAAUAGCUAAUCUUUUUUGACUUAAUAAUUAAUGAAGGGAUUGCUGUGCUAGUUCCAAUUUCAUCAUUAUUCGUUUAAUUGAGCAUGAAAGUAGCUCUUCUACUGAAGCAUCUAUCUAUUGCUUAACCUUGAUGUAUUUGUAGCCUCGGAUAUAAGAAAGAAUAAGGAACUUUCUUGUAGACACUCAUAAGUUCUCUAAUAUGUUCUUAAAUUGUGAUAUUCUUUUUCCUUUUUUUGCAGUUUUCAUGUGCAAAAUGGACCCAAAGCUGCUGACUUUAUAAUGGUUUCUAGUGAUAAUCUAGAAUGUGAUAAUCUAGUGCCUUUACUAAUCACUAGUCCUUUGUCUUUUAGGAUGCUGUAGCUGAAUGGCCUCCUCCGCAACCCAUCGCAUUUAAUUUUGAAAAUAUUUCUACAACAGAGAGAGUUGAAUGAGGUGGAGUUCUACUUUUUACUCUCUAAUUCAUUGUCUUUGGCAAGGGAAUGGCUGAAUGGGUAAUGAAAGUUGAAAGAGAAUCGCUAAAAGAAACAUGCAUAUAUAUACCAUUAAUCCAAAAAAAAUAGAAAACUAAAGGGGAAACAAAGGCAAAGAAAUUAGUACCCUUUCACCCUUGACAGCUUCCCACGAGCUCAAGUUAAAGUGGUGCUGAAAACCUCCAACUUCAGGGAGACAAAUGAGGUAAGGGGUAAUAAGCCAGCAGCGGUCUUUGAAGCUUACCCCUCACCAGCGAGGAAGAGACGUGACUUGAGAGUUGAAAAGAGGAAGAAAGGCUUGAUGGGGACUGGCUGAUUCACGAUAGGUACGGUGGAAAACCUCUAUUAGCUAAAGUAGACUUGGCCCACUUGGGAUUUCUUUUGAUUGCGUAAAUUAGGCGCAACGGAUCUUCUGUCCCACACUCUGUGCCACUCUCUGUCUCACUUUUUAUUAUAUUACUAUUUCUCCUACAUAAAUAACAUGUUUUAAUUCUUUUUUGUUUCCUUAAGAUCCAAUAACUAUUAAUUUAAUAAAAAAUAAAUAUAACAGUUUCAAAAAAGCAAUAUAUAAUAGAAAAUUUAAAAAUACAGCAGAAAAUUCAUAAAAAAUCUCAUUUUUUAUGCAUUUUGAUUUUUUGAAUUUGUUAAAUUUUGUGUAUUACUCAAUUAAUAGUUAUUGGAUCUUAAGGAAGCAAAAAAGAAUUAAAACAUGAUGUUUAUGUAGGAGAAAUAACAAUAUAAUAAAAAGUGGGACAGAAGAUCUGUUGCGUAAAGUAGGACGUCCUAACACCUAAAAGGAGAAUGCAACUUGUGGACCAUUCUUUUUAAUUUAAUUAUCACGGUUCAUUGCACCAGACAACAAUUUAUUACCUAAAUUGAGAGGCAUCCCUCAGAGUUAUGAGCCAGUGCCUGUGGGGAGGUCUCUCUCGACUAAAAGAACUUAAGCACUUUUCCUUUUUAAUGUUUUCAAAUUAAGUUCUCUAAAAACAAAAAAUAAGAAUUAUGAUUUAUGAAAUUCCUACUUUGUCCACACAAAUAAAUAAAGGUGGUAGAAUGGUUCAUUGUAAAUUUCAUAAGUUAUUUACCUAUACUAGUAAUUAUAUAUAUUUUUUUAUUUUUUAUGCGAUACUCGAUAGAGCUCAUCGAACUCUCGAGUAUCAAAUUUCUAAAAUCGAGCUCGACUCGCUAGCUCUAACGAGCAGCUCGAGCUCGAUCAAAUGAUCUUGAACUUGGCCUUCUAAUUGAGUAGCUCGCGAGCUUGAGUCGAGCUACUCGAUUUAGCUCCACCCCUAUUAUCAACCCUGACAACAAAAUUGUUUAGUUGGGAACUAGAUUGCAAUGCAGACAUUAUUCAACUCGUUGAGAGUUGAUAUUUUGACUAUGAGUUGAAGUGACUAAUCUGAGGCUUUGUGACUUGUAAUCAAAUAUUUGUGCGCAUUCUUGAGCUGGUUUUGCUUUAAUUACUCGAGUCACGUUAUUAACAAUAGACCAGAUAUCGUUCUUCAGAACACCAUUUACGAUGAAAACAUCAUUAUAGAGGCAGCAUUAUUAACCAUGAACAGAUUGCCAAUGCAAAAUGAAAAUACAUAAUCCCUCCAUCCAACUUUGAUAUACUUAUUUUUCUUUUUUAUUUAUCCCAAAUUAUAGUCCGCUUUUUAAAUGAAAAAUAUAGUUAAUUUGUAACUUCUCCAAAAUACUUUUAUUUAAUGUAAGUUGUUAUUGAGUAUAACCUAAUUUAUUUAUUGUAAAGCUAAUUAGUCAUCCUCCAUUUAAUGUAAGGAUAUUUUAGGAAGACAGUGAACUAGAUUUAUUCUUCCAACAAAAUUAAUUAACUUUUCUUGAACCGUGUGGAAAAAAAAUCAAAUCUAUCAAAAGAAAAAAAAAAAACAAAACGAUCCUCAUGUUAUAAAUUAUGGCUUAAUGACUAGAUUGCACGCUUGUGGCAGGAUUGCCAAGUAUAACGCGCCAAUCAUUUGUUUGGCGAAAAUGAAAAGGAAAAAAAGUCAUUAAUAUUUUCAGAUCAUUGGAUAGAAGAUAGAUUUUGGUAAGUUACAUAUACACACAUUUCAGAUGAGAUUUAUAGGUAACGUUAGUGGUGGGCUAGCUCAGUAUAUCACAUUAUUAAACCAUUAAUACAAGAAAAAGGUUACAGUGAAGAAAUUUAAAUGUAACUGCACUUCUUUAUCAUUAAAAAAAGAGAAUGUUAAUUGUGACAUUUAUGAUCAACUCAUUUAAUUACUUGAGUUUAAACUGAUGAGUAUGUUUUGAUCACUUCAUCAAGAAAAAUAUCUUUCCAUCAAGGUUCACUUUAACCAUCUUUCCUCAGGAAAAAAAAGGAGUUAAAACGAAACAUAAAGAAAGAAGGGAGAAAUCUGAAAGUUGAAUAUUGUGUGAAAAAGAAUUUUUAACCUUUUUUUUCACAUGUUCAUGCAUCUUUUUGUGAAUAUUGAGAUGCCGCUUAUAACAUCUUUUGAUAAUUUGAACACAAGGAUUAGGAGGUUUUAGUCCUUAAUCGACUAACUUAUUUUUGUUAUCUACUUCUGAACUUCCAACAGUAAGAUGUCGUGACUGAUCAGGUCUAGUGUUGUGGUAAUUGUUUUAUUGAUCUAAUUUUAUCCUAAUAAAAUGCCUUAACUUGAUACUUUAUUACUUUUUGGUGAUAAUACUUGCUUAUGGUGGGAUUGAAAACAAUUGAAGAAAGGCUUUCCGUUUUUUUGACCAAACAAUCUUCUUGGCUCUUGGUUUAUUGAUCCGUUUGAUGUGUAAGUGUGAAUUAUGGGUUGGAUAGCUUAGGGAGAAGUUGUACAGCUUGUUAGCUGCUUGAACAGUUCAACUAUUAACAUUUGCUUAUUUCGGGUCGUAGGAAGUAGGAACUGACUGUUUUGGGAGUUGGUACUAGGUAGCAACAGUUAAUAUGGUGUUUUUGUAGUGUUGCUGUUCUUAUUAUACGUUUAAUGACACUUGAACUUGACUCAAGUCUUGACUCUUGACAAUUGACUUCACUAUUUCACCUAUGAUGUUGUUAUCUUGUAUUUAUAUAUGGCUCUGGGGCUUUGUAAAUGAUUCUGAAAUCUGGGAUUUGUCUUUUUUGACCUCUUUUUGAUCUAUUAAAUUGUGGGUUCUAUUUGAAAUUUGGGUUUUGUUUCAAUUUUGGUGUUUCUUGAUAAUUCUAAUUCUGAGAUAGAAAGAGACUUCUUGGGAUUGAAUUCAAAGAAUUAUGUUAUUGUUGUUAAGGAAAAAGCUGUCGAAGGUUUCAAGGACUUUGGUAAAAUUAAACCUAUCCUUUUUCUGUCCCUUUUUUUUUUUGUCAUUUGUACAAAGCAGAAUUGUGUUUAAUUUGUUCCUUCUGUGUGAAUCAGUUAAUCACAUUGGCUUUGUUGGUUUUUGAUUGGCCAAACCAAAGUUAAAAGUUUUUGUCUUCAGUUGGUCUAGUAUUGGUUUUGAACCUUUUGGUAUUGGAAUUCUAUGUUAAUUCUAUUUGUUAGUAUUCAUUUCUGAGCCUUUUAUGCAAAUUUAUAUAGCAAUGCAAGUUUUAGCUCAGUUUGAUACUUUGAUGUCAUAUUUAGGGUUGGAAUUAAUUCUACCGCUAAAAUUUCGUGUUUCUACCUUCGAACUCGAGCCAAGUACUCUAGCUCAUUAAAGCUUGUAGACUGCAUGAUUUUUUCGAGUCAAACUCAAGUUGCCGAACAUGAAAUCGAGCUCCAGUUCGAAUUAGAAAAUUUCUAAUCGUUUGAGUUAAAGUAGUACUUUUUUAUUUUCAAGUCGAGCACGAGUAUGAUGCAACUCAAGUUUGACUCAACUCGACUACACCUUAUUUCAUGGACGUAAAGUGCAUGUUUUUAAGGUUGAGGGUAAUAAAGCGUGACUACCCCCAAAGCUUAAGGGGCAAGUGUAAUUAACCCUAAAUAGAAUGAUGAAUUUCUCAUCGCCAAAUUUUGCUGGGCUUGCUCUAAUGGAAAACCUUGCUUGUUGGAUCAAGAUGAUCGCAUUAAACUAACAAAUUUUGGUGAUAAAGAAUGAAACUGUCUUAACAUAUUUGUUGCUGAGUAGAGACUAGUGGAUAAGUUGUAAACUUGGGAAAGAUAGCGAAUGUUGUAAAUUUAUAUGGUCUUUUCGGUUGCUUCCCCUUUUAAUUUCCUCAAUUUGUUCCCUUUGUCCAUACAAGGGAAGAAAACAAAUAGUACUCGUAUUUCAUUUUAAGUACAAUGGAUGAAGGUGGCAAUGCGGUGGAUCCCAAAUAAGCGAAUAGUCCUUUUCUUCAUUGAAGGAUGGAAUGUUAAAGUUAAUUGCACUAAGUUGCCCCGUAAAUUCGAUGUGAUUUAGAUUGGAUCCUUAAAAUACAUUGAGGGGUUCUGAUUGUGCCUGACCUUAUUUCCAAUUUUUUCCCAUUCAACUUCUCGUUGGCAAGCUUCUCUUAUCAUUUUGUAGUUUAUUUUUCUUUUAUUUUUUAUGAGUAAAUUUUAUGUACACUGUCAGUAUAUAAACUGCCACGAUUGGAUAGAUGACACAUGAAUAAAAUUUGAAUUUAAAUUCAAAUUUUGCACAUGUGUCAUAUAUCUAAUGGUGAUAGUGUAUACACUGACAGUAUAUAUAAGAUUAAUCCAUUUUUUAUAGGUCAAAUUAAGAUCUAAGUUUAAAAAAAAAAAUUUAAGAUCUAAGUUCCAAAAUAUUCCUUUUUUUUUUGGGGUUCAAACUAAAAGAACAUGUCACAAAAUUUAGUAAAUUAUUACUACUAUUCAAGGUACUCCAAUCUCAAAUCAUGACGGUCAAUUGAAGGGAUUGAAUGCAAAUAUAACAACUGAUAUAAUUGUGCCCAUAUGCAUAUCCUAAACAUUUUUAAAUUCCGAGGAAAUAUUUUUGGUUACUGAUCCUUCUACGUAUUAUGCUUGUUUGCCAACUAUUCUAUGAUUUUUCCAAGGCAAGUUUUGUGAUUUAUUGCUGCACCCAAAAAAAGAAAAGGUAAUUGGUCUCUACACACAUUCAAAUGCAUGACGGUUUUUUAAGUGGUGGAAUUCCAUUUUUAAGUGCAUUUUUCCAAAGCAAAAAAUUUGAUCUUCUACUCAUGGGUAUGAUUGCAAUUAAUUGCUAGUUGGUUUAUGGGCAUUAAUAUUUUCUCGAUAAACGGUUAGCCUAUGGUUUGUUAAGGGUAGGAAAGUACAAAAUAAUAAUAAUAAUAAUAAAUGUUAGGGAGGUGGAAGCAAAUCAUACCAAACUUAAAAGGGGGCUUGGUGCAUUUAAUCCAAUAUUAAGUUUUUAAUUACAACUGUACAUGGUAAUCCUAAUCCAAUAUCCCUACAAAAAAAAAUCCUAAUCCAAUAUUAAAUUUUUAAUUCUAAUUUAUGGUAUGUUUCUUGCUUAGACUAAUUUCCUUUUUUCCUGCUCCAUUGUUAAUCAUUAGUCAAUUUGAUCACCUAACGGUAAUUUCUUACUGGUUUUGAAUCCACCAAACAACAAUGCCACCAACAACUUGUGGUUGGCUACAUUAUUGGAAGACAUCGAAAAUUUGAAAGUAUUGUUUCAAUUGUGUUUCUUUUGUUUAGUUGGAGAAGAUAAAAAAAAUAUAAAUUUAGCAACAGAAUCAGCAAUUAUGCUUUAGGCAUAUGUCAAGAUGAGGAAGUGAUUAAUCCUCAAUGUCAUUGAACACCGUUGUAUAAUUUUGAUCGAGUGUUUGCUCGCCACCAUAAAGUUUCAUUAUAAUCAAUACAAAUCUCUUAACGUUUUGGGAGAGAAAAAAAAAAAAAAAAAAAGAAGUAAUCCUUUAGCACUCUUCUAAUGGCUCAAGCGCAUUGCUUUUGGUUCAUAUUGGGUUAUUUUAUUAGAUUUUACAUGAACUUUAUUCUUUAACUCGGAAUUGUGAUCCACCAGUUAAACAUUGAGUAACAGCAACAAGUCCCAGAGAGGUGGAAUUCAUUCCUUUUUCAUUAGCAAGUAGUCUUUGUAAUUCGUAGGUUAAUGUUGGAUAAUUUCUUGCAAAACGAGGGAGAAGUGUAAUUUCUUGCAUCUAUCUUUUUUUUUUCGGAGAUGAUAAUAGUUGUAUAACCUAAUCUAUUCUACACUAAGGGGGAGGGGCAGACCUAAGGAGGCCCAGGGAUAACCCGAAGGGAACUGAACCACCACCGAAUCAAACGGAUGCACAACAUACCCGUCUGAAUUUUUUUUUAAGUAAACCAUUUAAAUGUGACAUUUUGAUGAACCCUUGCCUCCCACCCCACCAAGCUGGGAGGCUGGUGGCCACCAGCCUUUGAUUUCUUGCAUCUAUCAGUGAAGAGAUUAUGCUGGAAUGGCGAGCCCUAUGGUCAUUUGACUGUUUUAUCUGGUUUACACGGUAGUUAGAUUGGCAUUUUGCAAUUGCUACAGGGACACCGCCGGACUCAAACCAAUUCUUUCUAAGCACAAGGAUUUUUUUUUUUUUUUUAUCUUUUCUAUUUCGGGGUACAAAACUAGACCAUUUUUCUUUUAUAUUGAGAUGGAGUAUCAAAACUAUUACAAGAAAUACUAAACUCAAUUACAUACUAUUGUCCAAAUUCGUAUAUUGUAACAGAAAUGGUAGAGAAACGAACAGAAAUCUAAAUAUAGAAAGGAAAAGAAGAAGAAAACAAAAGCUUUGAAGACAUAUUCUGUAAGGAGGGUUGAAUUGAGUGAUAAGGAGGGAGAAAUUAUAAGUAAGAGAUUUUGGAUUUAAAACCUUUCAUUUACCAAAAAAAAAAGUUAAAAAAAAGGACAUAUUUUGCAUGCAACUAUAAAGCAAACCAAGUAAACUCACCAAAAUAACCAUCUGCAAGCUAAUUUUGAUCUAAUUACUAAAACUGGAUUUUUCAGGUACUACAAUAAUGCUAAUUUCAAAAGCCAAAAUAAGAUAUAUGGGCCAAAAUUUGCGAAGACAGCAGUUUAGCUAGAUGGGAAGA